UUUUUUUCCUUGUUGUCUACACUUUUUUUUUUCGUGCCCUCACAAUUGUGCUUGCUCUACUCUCUAUAGAGAAAUUUGCUCUAUUGGCUCUUGAAACAUGUGAAUUCGCAAUUUUGACACUCCAAUAUAAUAGAUUCAUAAUUUUGACACUCCAAACAUUGUGUUGCUUGAUUUCCUGACAUUCUCCCUUUCUAAUAUAUUUUCUUUUGUUUUUUUACUUUUCUUUUUUAUCAAAAGACUACAGCACCCUUGCCUCUCUCAUUCUCUCUUUCUUCCUGAAUCCCGGCCCAUCGAGUGAACUUAUUUUGGUACAAAUGUGAUGAAGGUUUAGUUAUCAAGCCAUCGUGUGAACUUAUUUUGGUCCAAAUGUAAUGAAGGUUUAGUUAUGAAUUAUAUGUGAGUUAUACAAUCGGUGGUUGAGAAGUGUGUGAACUAUGCCACCUAUGGAUGUGUCUAAUGUAGAGAUAUUUAUGCUAAAAAAUAUCUUGUGGCAUCAUGCCAGUUAGGUGGCCGCAAACUUAUUUGUAUUAUGUAAUGUUGUCAUAUAGCUUAGGGGCAAGAUCAACGUUUUAGGUAGCCUAAACAGCAAAAAAGAAAAUGAGUGUGUGUGAUAAGAUUAGAAUGUCAUAAAAUCAAGCAACACAGUAUUUGGAGUGUCAAAAUUGCGAAACCACAUGUUUAAGUGUCAAUAGAGCAAAUUUCUCUUCUCUAUAUAUACUCAUCCGAUAAAAAUAAUUGUCACUGUUGAGUUUCCAUUUUUUGUGGUUUACAUUGACCACUAUUUUCUAUUAUAAUAUAGGUAUAAUAUCAUAUAGAUAAAUGAGAUUAUGAAAAAAUUAAUUCAAGACAAACCAACCCAUAUGAUUUUUAUAUUUUCAAAUUAAAUAUCUUGAAACUUAUUGACAGUCGAUAUUUCAAUAGUUUGACUGGAAAAUGUGGCCUUUUCGCUCAACAGGGAAAUUACUUUAUUUGGGUAUCUGUGUAACACUAAGUUCUAAAUUCCCUGUGAACUGAGCGGAGUUAAGUUGGUAAGUUUCCUUGUGGUGGAGCCUGUCCACCCAAUUUCGAGUUCUCGACUCGGUAUGGGUUUUCACAUUUUUCCUAGAUUUGUUCGAUGAAUUAAUUGGCGUUAUUCUUUCAGUGGUAGGCUCGACGUGCCCAUCAAUAGCGAAGCGCAUCUGAUGACUUCAUCGAUCUUAAGAUCUAUCGGCUCAGUCUCUUGGAGGUGCUCAUAGGGGUAAGGUUGAUUGCUUCUGUGUAUUCAUAGGGGUGAAUGCGCUUUAAGUGUUUUUGAGUGUCUUCGUUUGUACUGUGAUUCAUAAAAAAGUGUUUCUUAAUUCCCUUUUCUUCUUUGCAACAUGUGGUUGUUUCUCCUCUGUGGCUAGCUCUUGGCCCCCAUGCUUUCCACGCAGUAGCUUUACCUUUACGCUUUGCAUGCACCUGAUCUGGAGAGAUGGAGAAUGAGCUAUGAUUAGCGCCAAAUGUAUCCUGAUUCAAUCCGGAGGGAUUCGGCAACACAUGUGAAUACGGCUGAAGAUUAACUGCUGCCGAUGGGCAGCAGUCUUAGUCAUCUAAGAUUAAGCUGCAGUUAGCACUGGAUGUCACAAUUAACAACAAUCAAACACAAUGCUCAGAGACUCAGAACGUGCCCACUAUAACAAGUUCCAAUACAGUUGAUGAGUCUGACAAUUGCUAGGUAGACAUCACAUUAUACUUGAACAAUGCUCCUCAGCUACAUAGUGAAGGGGUAAACCCACAAAGUCCCUGUCCACCCAUAGAAAAGUGGCAAACUCGAUCAGACGGGGAUAUUGAGAAGAAGUGAAGCAAUUAACACGACAGAUUAAGAUUCAAGAAUCCAAAAGAUGGCGGGAGACGAUAGCAAAAGCAUCUGCAAACCAACAUGGAAACCAAUCUAUCGAGCAGAACGAGCAUCAGCAGUCGCAGCGUCGCCGGCAUCGUCGGGCCAACUCGAUAUCCCAGCAUGGGUGAGCAACGCCCAGAGGAGCGUUAUCAGCUCUCCACCCCGUGCGGUGGCCUUCAAAUGACCUCUAACAUUGUCUGAGGGAGCAAUGUACAGGACCAUCCCUGACCAGAAUUCAGCAAGCACCUUCCAAGCCGUAUCCUCACCAUCGGCCAGUAGUUGCUUUCCAAGCCUGACUCCAUUCUUGAGAACAUCAUACUUCGAAUUCACACUUAGUAAUAACUGGGCCACCUGCUCAUACUCGGCCACUGGUGUUAAUGAUAAUCCUUCUGCAGUACGGCCCGCGAGGGCACGCUUAGCGUCCUUCUUGACAGUAUCAUACAGGCUCUUGCUCCAUUCAUCAUCAUCUGGAAGCAGAUCUGGAGACCAGGCCAUUAGGUAUGCACAGUACUUUGACAGGUGAGUAGCAAUAAUCUUGUCAUUCAAAUCAGAAGGAGAACCUUCUUGACCAUGUUGGCAUGGGGGCCUAACCUCAAGGAGGCAUGUAGCAAUGUGCCAUGUAAGUAUGGUUUCAGAUGUGCCAUUGCUGCUGCAGGCCCAGAGGAACCUUCCAUCUAUUCGGCUCAGGCGUAGAGACUCUGUGCCAUUGCUUAAUUGGUGCCUAUUGUAGCUGCCUCUCAGAGCACUGAUGAUGCGGGCCUUCACUGCUUCUGGUAUCUUCACACUCCUAUCUAGGUCCGGGAGACGGAGGAGACGUCUAAGAGAACAAGCAGGGUUGUUCUUGGGUGAAGGACAAUUAUUGAGCUCUGGCCCAUCUUUUCGUCCCAAUGCUUCAUCAGCCCCCAUUUGCAAUUCAGCAGAAGGCCAAACCAAUUUUGCACGUGGAGAGAAGGCUGCAAAGAGGCAUGGUUUAUAUGGUGGCAGAUGAGAGCUACUUUGGUCCAGUUAGAGCAAACGUAGGACACUAUGUACUUCGCCUCCGCUAUCACAACCAAUGCCAGAAGCAAAAAUAAAGGAAUGUCAUCAAAGACGAAGAAUCCAAAAUUUUUAUCCUGCCUAUCGCUUACCAAGAACUUAUCAUUACACCAGAAAUGACAACGUAGCUGAUGGUUAUACUUGGUCUUCCAAUUUGAUAGGAGCCCCAUCAUGAUAAAUCUUGUAGCCAACAUGCAGUAAGUUAUGCUUAAGAGUGAGAUACUGACACUCAAGAUGGGCAACCAAUGCUUCGAAUAGGAGACUGGAAGUGAUGAGUAGUAAUAAUCUUGAACGAAAGAAAGCUCAUCUGCAAUUACCCGAAACACCUUUUCAUGGCCGCCAUCUUUGAGCAAGCUCCAGAAAUAGUUGAGGGCCCCCAUAGAUGUAACAUUGGCACGCUCAUACCUCGCAAAUCGACAUCUCAACAAUUUGAAAAAUCCAAAUGACAAGCACAGGUCAGCACGAUCUUUGUCCAUUUGCCAAACCAUGUCAACGGUCACUAAGCCAAUGCUAUUGUCAAAGUCUAAAUACCCAGGAGGCUGCUCCGGUAUACCCUCUUCUCCAAUAACCAAGAGUGGAGGAGGCACAUCCUCACCUACCGAUGCUUCACCGGGUUGCCUUGUUUCUUGCAGUUGUAACCGCUCCAUGUACAAAGAGACAGCACGAGGAUUACGCCCAAAUGCCAACGAUUUCCGGGCCUUCUCAAAUGCAUAAUAUUUUAAGACGAUUUUAGCACAAACAAUAGCAAAAGGCAUUAAUUCAAGGUAAAGGGGCCAGAUAUUGGUCGUAAUCGGACCCAUGGCAGUGACGCCGAGGUAUAGGGUCCAAACACCUUGAACAAGGAGUUGGACAGGGGGACCUUUGUUCCUACCCUCUCUAUCGCCAACAGCGACUACUACGCUAGUAUUGAUAGUGAUUAUCUGAAUGAGAAAGGCCCAUGAUACGGCUGUAAAAUAAUGAAAACCUCCACGGCAUGUCGCAGCCAAGGUUCCAAACUCAUAACUGUUGAUGUAAUCUGUUGGUGCUAAUGCUAGACAAGACGUACGAUGUAAUCGGCAAUAACAAGGUACUGGCUCCAAGAUAGAUGAACCGCGUGAAGGGGUGGUGGCGGUAGCGCUGGCAAUAGGCGCCUAUCCCAACUAUAACUCCAGCCAAGAUAGCAUCGAUGAGCACCAGCAUGUUCACCCGCCACAAGGUCCCUCCCAUGGUCUUACGGAAGGCUGCCCAGGAUUCAUGUGAGCACCUAAUGCUCGAGGAGCAUUGCUGGAGUGAAGCAUCGGAGCAGAAGGUGGUGGAAUUCUCCCCAGCCAUAAGCUAGCCGACUGCCAAACCUCAACAAAAGAACAAGAUGUUGGCACAAAUUAAACCCACAAAGAAGUAACUUAUGCUCCAAGGGACAUGUACUAGGCGAAAUUAAAAGCUUGAUUUCCUUUAUAAAGGAACUAAACGAUUGAAAUGUAACAAGACGACAGUUGCUUGGUGAUUGUAUUAGGGCAGUCCCAAUGGGACAUUGAUGAUAGUUUCUAUCCCUCUUAAUUAUCAUGCCAACUAAGCAAUUUGCUGAUGUGGCAGUAGAUUUAUUAUGGAGAGAGAGAGAAACCAUUUCUUAGAGAGGAAACCAAGUCCUCACGUGCACCAAUGAGCCAAGAAACCAGUGAUUCAGCAUUGGGGAGACCCAAGUAGUUUCUUCUUAAUUACUGCAGGAUCCUUUGCGCUUGCACCGCUGCUACCCAUCACUCGAGCUCCUUUACAUGAUGCACAGAGGAUCUGGUACUAGAUGGGAGAAUGAUUGGUUGGAUUUUUAUUUAGACUCUACAUAAAAAAGUUGCAUUGUGAAGGAUGAUUUCUUGAUACAAUAUCCUAGACUAUGGAAACUAGGUUGGUUUCUCCCAUUAGGACUGCCCUUAUGGUAAGUAGGAAGAGAGAUUUCCACUUACAGUAGUUAUGCAAUCCGGCGGCCUGCUGGGAAAUAAUGCCUCCUUGUGUUAAUGGUUGUAUGCUGAACGGCUUUGCAAGUAAUGCGUGCGAUGGCUUAUCGUUCACGAGGUUGCGUUGUUCUCUAUUCCUUUGUCCCGAUGUGCUUCGUAACUUGGAGAGGGCUCGAAUAUAUCUGCAUGCUUUUGAUGGAGUUGUCUGCCAAUCACUCAAUCCAAACCAAUUUGACUUUCUGGAAUAUAUACUAUGUUGUUAGAGUUCAUCUUGACAUCGAUCCGCGUAAAGCGUGUAAGAAGAUAGGGAGUGGACUUUUUGGAUGGGGAAGGAACCAUAUAAAAUACUAAAAAAACAAAACUUGGGCGGGCAUCGUGAAGAUACCAGGAAAUUUUUGUAGAAUCUUACUAUUACUAAUUGGAGGCUCCUUUUGAAGCCUCCAGGUAAAGCCACCUAGGAUUCCUAGGUGGACACUCUAGAAAAAGAGAGAAAUCCUAGAAAUUCUCAUAAAAAAGCAAAACAUCCGACCAUCAAUCGAUAGAUUCAAAUCAUCAUAGCCAUUGGAUCUAUUACAUUUUCUAAAAAAUUACCCACCUAUGCCAUUACAAAACUAGCCUAAAGUAACCCCCUAAAUCUAUAUAUAAAGUACCCACCUAUACCAUUAUAUAAAAUAAACUAAAGCAACCCCUAAUCUUCAUCACAAUUACCCACUUAUACCAUUAUAAACAAUAUUUAAAAUAACCCCCUAAUUUGCAACUGAAUUGCCCACCACUGUUACUUAAAAAACUUAAAGUAACAUUUUAAAUUUGCAUCUAUCUUACCCACACAUGCUAUAUUAAAAAUAACAUAAGAUAACCCUACGUUUGAAUCAAAUAACCUUAAUUAAAAAUAUACAACAAUAUAUGAUUCUAAAUCAUCUAUAUCUUGCACUAUUGGUAUAUGAUAUAAUAAUUAAGGUCUAUACGCAUGAUGUGUGUCACCAUUUAUAAAGAUCUAAAGUGAUGUAAAUAUAGAUUUCUACGUUAAAAUUGUUUCUCAAACUUAGGGUUCAUUAAACAAAUUCAAGCGCAUACCUGCGAUGUAAAGUGAAAAGUUAAAGAUUAUAAAUAUGGAUGAAAAUAUUAUAGAGUAAUUACAAACUAAAAUCUAUCACAAUUGGAUGAAGAUAUUAAGUAUAUAUCUAUAUAAGUAUUAUGUUCGAAUAUUUAACAAACGAGAGGUAGCUUAUGGUAAUAGUUUUGUAGCAAUGUAGUCUUAUUUUUUUUCCAUUGGAGGCUCCCCAUUAGUUCCCAUGAGACAAGCUAGAAAAAAGAGAUAAAUUCUCAUAAAAAUUAAAAACAUCAAACACCAAUCCUGUAAACUCUAAUAAUCAUAGCCAUUGAUCUAUUAUAUUUUCUAAAAAAUUACCCACCACUAUCAUUGUGUAAAUAUUAAAAAAUGAGCUAUAAACCUAUAUCUAAAUUACCGAGCUUAGCUAUUAUAAAAAAUAAUCUAAAGUAACCCUGUAAUCUUCAUCCAAUUUACUAAUACUUAUCAUUAUAAAUCAUUAUAAAGCAUAACUUAAAAUGUCAUUCUAAAAUUUUAUCUAUGUUACCCACGUACGUCGUUAUUAAAAAUAACCUAAUAAAGUAAACAUGUGCAUCAUACGUCCAAAAGUAAAUUAAUAUAUGAUUCUAAAUUACCUAUUUAUGUCAUUGUUAAUAUAAAAAUACUAAGUUAAAGUAUAUACACAUGAUGAAUCCCACCAUUUAGACCAUUUAUACAUGUAUGUGAGCAAUCGAUGAAAAAUAUUGAUUUGUAUGCUAAACAUAAUGUAUGGAGGAUUGGAGGUGCGAUACAAAAUGGAAAAAGUAUGAAUAUGGAUGAAAAAGUGUAUAGAGUAAUUAUUAAUCAAAAUCAAUCAAGACAAAGAUAGGUACAUAUCUAUAUAAGUAUUAUGUUGAAGUAUUGAAAAAAUAAGAGAGUACUAGGUAAACAAUUUUGAUUAUUAGCUAGGAGUUUAAUUUCUAAAUAAUUUUCAAAUACAAUAAUUUCUAAUAAUAUUAGCCCGUGCGGGAGCACGGGUUGGUGGACUAGUCAGCCUUAAUUAAUAAAGAAUUAUGAGAUCCUGAACUAAAUACGCAAGGGGAAAAAAUAGAUUUGACUAUGAGCGAUGCCAUAUAUUCUGAACUACAUAAUACUAUGUGACAACAGACAAAAGAUUGCCGAGGACAAUCUUGACCAAAUCGACUAAGCAAAGGGAGUGAUAGACAGCUGACAAAGUGACAAGCAUAAAGCAUACCUUGAACAGAAGCAUACCGUCGAAUCGGGCGCGGAUCCAUCAAGUGGAGAUGAGCACCACCACCAGGCCCUGGACUCUGGAGUGCUUGUGCUUAACUAAUUAUUAGCUCCAUCCAUCUGUGCAAAUGGCCGUCCAAUAAUUUUUCCUGGUCGCAACUGGCCAAGGAAGAAGCAACCCUGCCUGCAUCAGAAAAUCAGACGAUGACGCACGAGAAGAUGCAUUCCAAACAGUGAUAGGAAUACGCAAUUUAAAAUGACCCUCCACGAGGACGACUAUGCCUCGUAGGAGCAUCAUGGUGUGAGAGUGAGCUGGGUGCUAGCCGGGAAAGAGACACGGUUGCAGGGCGAGGCAUCCGGGUUAAAAGAAGCACGCAUAUGAGAGUUGUUUAUCAUUCAUCAAGCAGAGAACAAAUGAUACAAAGUGCGGUAAUACACACGACCAGGGGUAUUUUGUCUGAAACAAGUUGAUGAAUACAUGAAAAGAACCAAUAAUGAUAUAUAGUACAGCGGCAAGCACUGUGAGAAAUAGAUGGCCAAGGCCUCAAUGGUAGAUGUCAACAACACCAGCAUCCUUCCAAUUAGACUUGCAGUAAUAAGAAGUCACUAAAGCACACCAGGACAACAAUUAUAUAUCUUGAACAAUUAAAAAAGUGAACAAGUGGCAGGUCAAUAUCAGCAUAAGUGAUCAGGGCUUGCUGAAAGUUUCCUUUGAUGAGAAUAACAGAGCUUUCCUAGAAUCUGCAAGUUCAAAAGUAAAUUAUUAUGAAUUAUGACUAAGGUGAAGAUGGGUUGGACCCAUUUUUGACAUUGAGUAGCGCUUAUAUUUCAGUAUCUAUUAUUUUUUCAAUGACUGACACAGAGCAAUUUAAUGAUAGCAACAAUACUCACUAUUAUGAUCACUAUGAUCUCAUCGCGAGCUCGUUCCACAAUCCGCACAAGACUUUCCUGUUGAAGGACCAUCCCUGUUGCUGAAAAAUAAGAUCAUCAUUAGCUAAGACAAUUCCAUUGAUUGGAGCACCGAAGCCUAUAUAAUACUAUUUGGAACAUAUGUUGAGAGAGAGAGAGAGACUUACGUUGGACGCGAUGCUGGUUGAUUUCCUCCAUUAUUUUCUAUGUCGGCGACGUCGUUUUGACCCCUGUCCAGGAUGCCAGCGUGGGUGAGCAAUGCCCACAAGUGCGUUAUAAACUCCCCUCCUUUUGCCAGGCACUCGACGUGCUCCUUCACAUUGUUUGAUGGCGCGAGGUAGAGCAGCAUCUCUGCCCAAAAUCCCGCCAGCACCUCCCAGCAAUGGUCAGCCUGCAUAUUCUUGAGCUGCUCCCCCAGCCUUAGGCCCUUGCGGUAAAUCGUCUCCUCAUCCCCAGCUUCUUGUGACUGCUGCUGCUUCAAUGCUUCUUUUGCAACCAGCAUAAAAGCAUGCCAUGUAUCGUAGUGGUGACCCGGGAGAAGCUUUGGUGCAAAAGCCACCAAGUAUGCACAGUAUUUGGACAGUCUUGUGGCGACCUCAUAAUGCUCAUUGGUGAUGGCACUACCUGAUGCUGAAAAUUCCCUGUCGCAGUAGCAUGUUGCGAUGUGCCAGGCCAGAAUAACACACACCUGGUUCUCCUUCUGCUGCAAGGACACCGAGCCGAACUCGAGGCCUUGGCGAAGCUUGAGGCUGCAAGCCCACAAUAGCUCAUAUGCCCCGCUGGACGACAGUGAUAACGCCCCGUUUGUCAGCUUAUUACCAUGGCGAUGGGUGCGUUCAAGGGACUGGACAAGUGCCUUCUUUACUGCUGCAAGCAACUCUGCAGGUUCACCAGGCUUCCGGACGACGCUCCGUACGUGAUUUGGUAUGACUCGGCUAAAACCUUCCAGCACUGAAAGCCAAAGUAGAAAUACAUGCUGGAGAAUGACCAGGAACUUGGUAAGCUUGGAUUGACUGGAGAAGUUGCUCAGUGAUUCAAGCAACGAAUACUGCCCGAGCUUUUGCUCGUGGUGGUGCCAGCGGCAGGAUGACACCCACAGACCAAUUUUGACAAGAAAAUCUUUAAGCCCCAUGCAGCAGCCUUUCCUUUUGAUGCGCUGGAAAGCAAAAGAUACCCUGCCCCAAAUGGUCGUCCAGUAGUACAUCACCUGCACCACUUGAAGGAAAGAGAUGCACACAAGUAUAGCUACGGUGAGAUCAAUAUCAGCUGCUGUGGUGUCCACGAUGACAGACCCCUCCAUCCCUUUAUUAGGAGGCGGCCGCAGCAGGCCUCGAGCCGUCUGGAAGGCUGUUACAACCGUUAAGGUCCCUGAGACAAGUGGCAGCACAUAUCGCAUCAUAAAACUUCCAUAAUAAAUGGCAGCAUACUUGGUGAAGAAGAAGUCAUACAUAAAAGCCAGCUCAAUCUCAAUCACCUUGAAAAUCCAGUCAUAGUCGAUUGCGGCGCUGGCCCCUCCAUCGUCAUUCUCCUUCUUCUUCUUGGCGAGCAGCCCCUUGAAGACAAGAUCACGUGUCUUGGGCUGCGAUGAUUCACCGCACUCAAACCCGAAGAAACGUCUCCGUAACAGAUGGAAAAGGGAGAAGGAAAGGCAUGCAUCCUUAAGAUCAGGGCUUAGAUCAUCGUUUCGCCACACCUUGUCUAGGUCAAUGAUAUCUGGAUCAGAAGGGUCACUUCUAAAAUGUGUUACGUACUUUCCAUCACCAAUAUAUGCACGACCAAUAUAUGUGCUGUACAGCCUGCACUCCACGAGGUAAUGGUAACCUGUCAUGGUGGCUGGAUCGUAAGCUCCUCUGCUCAUGGUGUGCUCCUGAUACAUGUAGUCAGCAACCAUUUUAUUCAAGAACCAUGAUUUGCUUGCCAUUCGACGUGCAGCUAAUCUUUGUAUAAAAUAAAUGGAAGAGACGGAUAUCAGAUAACAAAACGGGAACACUCUGAAAAAUGACCCGCCAUCCAGUGUAGUUCUCGCAAUCAUGCCCACGUAUGCGCACCCGAGAAGAUACUGGAAAAACUGUCUCAUGACCUGGCUGUUGUCGGUGAGACUAUAAGCUGUGAUAGAGUCAGCACAACCAAAGAGGAUGGACAGGGAUACUGCCCACAAUGAGUACAUGCCGCUCUUUAUGGCCGAAGACUGCAUUGAACCUAGUGUGUAGGAUACCAGGGAGGAGGACAAGGUGUAUGCACCGAAUACACCUUUCUGGAUGAAGAAGUUUCUGCUCCGACGUCGACGGGACCCGCAGGCGAUAAGGAAUAACUGCAGGAAGACAACCACUACUACGAGUACCUCAAUUCGGAUCACCGUUCCCCUAGGGCUCUUCCACAAGUCCUUAGUGCGGUUGGACAAUAAUAUCAACGUGGCAUUUGCAUCACUAAUAUGAUCAAUGUUCCUCAACGAGAAGCAGUACUCAUGAAGCUGCAACAAGCCAAAUAAAGCACUCAUGUAAUUAAAGCCUAGGGCCAAAUAAUAAUAUCGACCACAAAGGGUCACAGCUAGGAUGGACUCUAAACACAUUCCCAAGCAAAACCGCAGCGCUACGGAGGCUGUGAGGCCUAUGCAUAAAGAGAAAAAAAAAGAGCUGUCCUAUUGGAGAUGAUCCCCAUCCUGUUUCUUUGGAUCUAAAAGUACUAAAGGCCUCUUUGGCAGGGCUCUUCAAACAGCUCCGGCACUGGCUUCUGCAGGAGCCCUGUCAAACGCCAAUAAACAAAACGGCUUCGAGGUCGAAGCCCUCGUGGAGCCGGUCGCGCAAAUGAACCGCGGUGGAGGAGCUGGAAAAACCAGCUCCCCGCAGCUUGCCCAGCAUCAAACUAGCGUGAAACAAUAUUGAUUUACCCUCGAGUUCGCGUAAUUUAUUUACAGCAAAAAUGCCACAUGCAUCCCAUCCUCACCGUCCCCUUUCUUACCGUCAGCAUGGCGGCGUGCAGCUGGAGGAGCACCGCCGGCUGGCCCGGGCGCAGCCCCCAGCUCCGGCAAGCGCCGGCACGGCCUCGCAGCCCGACGUGGUCGCGAGCGCCUAGCACGGCGGCCCAGCCUCACCCUCGCCUGACAGCUAAUGUUCGCGUGGAUGGGGGUGCAGCAGCGGGGAACAAGCAAGCAAGCAGCGGCAGCAGGCAAGCAGCGCCCCGGUGUUAGCAGAGACGAGGCUGCAGGAGCAGGGACGGAAGAAGGGAUGCAGCAGGGGCAGAGGAGAACGGCCUCGCGUUGGCGUGGUUGAUUGAACUUUGAAGCAGGAUGGCGUGUGUGGUCGUGUGGAUAAGGUAAGGAAGCAGUAGAAGAACGGAUAAGUAUUGAUGAAAAAAAUGGUGAAAAAAAAGAGAAAAUAGAAAGAGGAGAGAAGGACAAAAUAAAGAAAUGAGAACAAAUCUAUAUCUAUACCUAAUAUUAAAGAGAGGAUGUUGCUUUCAAUCCUCCAGAGUCGUGGUAAUUUUGCGAACAGCCCCCCAAGCCCGCAGUCCAUCCCUCUCGCACGCAAGUCGCAACGCGUCCGUUCUUUGUCCGUUGUCAUCCUGGCAAAAUUUUGGUCCGUACCGGCCUGGAGUGAGCUUUCGUCCGGGCAGGAGAAGGAACUCGACUGACUCGAUCCUACACGUUUGCACUGCAGUCAAAUAUGUGAGCUCGUACGUGACGUGAGGCCCAGGCGGCAAGGAGCCAUCAGAGAGAUCGGUUUGGAAUUGGAUAUGUGCGAGGUGUCCUCUCCGAUAGCUCUGGCGACGAUGGAGGACCCCAAAGUGCGGUUCGCCAACGACGUGUGGGUCGACGCCACGAUGCGCCUCAAGGUCGGCUACGCCGCCGUCGUCUCCGAGAUUAACACACCGUCACGCCCAGGCGUGACCGGCGUCCUUCAAGGAUAUGUUUAGGCCCCUCUCGCUGCAACUUCUGCCAAGGAAAUCGUCACAAAAAUCCCAUGAUCGACUCCAAUCUCUCACCAUUUGCUUCAUGUCUUGAAUUUUUUAUGCUUGCAGCCCGAGGGCCUUGCCUAUUCAGGCGCGCAGGGCGUUUGUUGCCCACCGCCAGAGGAGCGUGCGGACACGCCGUGCGGCCGACCAGUCUGCUGGUUGAUCUGCACGAGUUCCCACUCAUCCGCCUGUUGAGUCAGCUUGCCGACAUAGUCGGUGCCGCCAGCUACUUCCUAGAUGAGCGAGCAGGUGGACUUGGCGGCGGCGGUCGGGCGGAACGUGGAGGGUGGGUCGACGGCGGAGGAGGAAGGGUUGAAGACCUCGAACGAGCCCCGGGUGUCACGUGGUAAUGCAUGCAAUAAAUCCAAGUCCAAGCUGGCCAGAUCCUGUAUGUGCGAGAGUUGACGUAUCUUUACAAAAACUUUGAAUUAUUGCAGCGCGAGGCAAAAUCAAUUGUAUUUUCUGCAGAGAACGAAAUGCAUUCUCUGCACAGUUUCCAGCUCUUUCAGGUUGUAUGGUGUGCUGACGGACAGAUUUGCUUUUGGUAUUGGCCAAUUGCUCAAGAAGUCCAAAAAGUCAAAUCUUCUAGAGUUGUUGGUUAUCGACGGAACUGCACAACUCAACGAGUGUGAGACCGUAACUCCCUUGCAGCUGCCUGGCAUUAGGCAGGCUUUUUUUUAUUACCUGCUCUGGUGAAAAGCAAAGUAAGCUACAUACGGUUGACUAUCCUUUUAUUUCAAAAAAAUUUCCUUUUGGAAGCGAUGUAUUGACGUGUAAUGUGAUUCUGUAGGUAUCUGACAAUGUUAACUUGGGGCGAAGUGCUUUUUUGAGAGGUUAAUUAGGUAUGCUUCGCUACGGUAAGCACCUUCUCCAUGUGCAAAACAGAAUACAUCCAAAAAUAAGCAAAAUUCCAGGUGUUACAUUUUACGAUGGAAAGAUAUCUUACGGUCCCAAUAUCACUACUAAGAGCUAUGAGAAGAGAUUUCUUCAUUUUUAUCAAGCAAAAUCUUUAGGUCGUACUCAUUCAUAAAUGUAGAUGGUGAAACAACCGAGAAGCACAACCGUAGCCUGAAAACACUAUCGAAUCUGCUGCAGUUUCGUGACCGUUGCAACGCACGGGUAUGUGUGCUAGUGACAACUAACGAGAUUAGGCUGUUAGUUUUUUGACACGGCCCUGCUCACCGCGGCUAAUCACACAGGUUAACGGAUUAUUGCAAUACUACCACGCUUUUUAAUGUAUAGUCCAUCUUUUCAAAGAAUAGUAAAAAAACUCAUGAGCACGUAUUUCAUGGAAAGACACAAGUGACUUUUGAGUUGUUAUGCACAACCUUGUGGGUACCUUAUUGAUGGCAUCUUCGCCUAGAACUUUUUUCCUAUUUUUGUCAUUUUUUCCCUCCUGUUUUAAUCACAUCCAUACCGUCUGCAUGGCCAACAUGAAUACUUGCAAGUGUCCAUGUCAUUUGAAUACCACCGGCUUGAAAACCAGUAGGGAGUGGAGUUAAGAUCCGCCACAGAUCUGAUUACUUACUGAAAGGACAGCAGGGAAUUUGAUCCAUUUUCUUAAUCGUGUUUACAAAUCUAAAUGACAGAUAUUUUUCCAUAGGAGGGAGUAUCGCCUCUUUCCUGUUCCAUGCCCUAUUUAGAUAGAGUAAUAUCUAAUAGGAUUUUGUCAUAUUUGUACUCAUUAGAUAGGUCAAAACUUCUUCUAUCGAAUAAGAUCAUAAAUGAUCCAAUUCCUUUAAGGUUUAGCUUACUUCUAUGCCUUCCAGGUAUGCUGAUCAGAUAAACAAAGCAACCUUGUCAUCCAUAUGCCAAUAAUUCUUCCCAAACAAAAAAAAAGUACGCGAAUCAUCAAAGCGCAAAUGUGUCGGUCUCAAUUAUGUGCGGAAGCAUAAAUGGGGUUUUACUAGGGAUUAGGAAAACAAAGCAUUAGCUUGUGCCAACAACUCAGUCUCUCUUAGAAUCUCUGUACAGUAUAUCCUUGUUAGAUACUCCUAUAUACACAUACCUCUUGCUCCAGAUCUGUCUCAAUAUACUCUUGAAAUUUGGUAGCCACGCGCAUUUGACAUGCAUAUUUUCCUUACAUGUCUGUGGACAGCAGCCACCCCAGUCCCUUGAAAUUUCGUAGUCACAAAUUUUAUGUCACCUGCCUGCUGCUGUCCGGCAUCGUGCUAAUUAAUCACGCCCGUAAGCCGUCCAAACCUAUCAACAGACAACCCUCCAAAUGCGUUGACAUCGACUGGCGAGCACAUGUAUUGAUACGCAUUGUACCCUCAUCCGAUCCCCAUCAACCACCCUUUACCCAAUAUGAUACGCAUUGUACCCUCUGGCCUUGCUCCGCACUCGGACCAACUUCUUCACUCUUUACAGUUUAGCCUUCACAAUAUUUUUUUAUCCUGUAGUGCAAUUGCCAUAGAAAUUUGUAUUUCCAAAUCUUUCAAAAUGUACCUAAGAACAACCUUUCAUCGUACCGGUCACAUUUUGAUCUGGUACUACUACCAGGUCCAAAUUUGUGACCCUCCGGAGGCCUUUUAGUACCACACCGCACGACGCGAGACUUUAUUUUUUUUUCCAAAACAAGUUAGUACCUGUUGGUGUUACCAACCUUUCCUUUAGUACCGAUAUAGCAAUACCGGUUUUACGAUCGGUACUAAAGGAAGGUUCGUAACCGGUACUAAAAGCGGAAUUCCCGGUAUUGCAUUUUCAUGUCUAGUAAUGUUGGAACUGGACAGGAAAAUGGUACUAUUAUUUACAAGAAAACAACAGAAUAAGAAAGGGACAAAAUAACGGACCGCUCCGACUAACAACUCUUUAUCAUUACAAAAGGUCGUGUCCGGAUGAAGAACUAAAGCGACAUUGAUCAUAUAUAGUACGUGAAAAGCUAGCAGGCAUAUGUUUCUUUUUUUAUAUGUUUCCGAAUUCCUCCAUGCGUUCCACGCAGUAGGCUUUAAUUAUGCUUUGCUCGCGCCUAUUAGCUGGUUUAGACCUUUGAAGAAUGAUUAUAUUAGUCCUGAUCGAUCGAGGGCUCAGAUCGAAUAUGUUCCUUGCUUGAGACUACACAUCCAUUAACUCACUAAUGCGUCAUGUGAUUUACAGCAGUACGGCCUCGACAAGGUAAUGUAACUGGUGAUUCCCUGAACGUCAGUGACACUCAAAGUAAAUCGAUCGUGCAUUAUCAGAGAUUAAAGUUUUAUUUAACUUUUUAACACUCCUAGUCAUGGAUCACUUGGUCGCCUAAUAACCUAAACCUGAUCGAGUUGUUAAUUACUAAUAUAGUGGUGUGUUAAAUAAGACUGGAUCCAUCAUUGCUCGGAGAACUUCCUUCUAAACUGUUUACAUCAUUUGCGUUGUAGAAAGCACAGGGAUUAAUUCUAAAUAUCCAAAUGGUUCCGUUUGAAUUCAUACAUGCCAAAGAGCAGAGGUGUGAGAUGCUAAUUUUUUGUAGUUAGAGCUUUUUUGUUUCUUUCUUAAUUCCCCCAUGCGUUCCACACAAGCUAGGUACUAGGAUUUAUACGAGAUCUCUGAACGAGGGUUGGUUAGCUUGAUAAACAAUCACGUCGAAUAUGUUCCUUGGGUGGGGGUGCCGUUCGCAAGAAUGAUACUCAAAGGAAAGGAAUUGACGGAGCCCGCACAUACGGAUGGAAGAAAGAAUGGAUAGUCCAAUAGCGACUUGACGAGGCUCAUUAUAUAUAGGCCCGUCAAAUUCGUCAAGUCGUAAAUUACGACGUAUUUGGGCCGUGUGAGGCCCACUUCGUCCUAGGUCCAUAGGACCUUUUGACUCUGGCACAAGGUCAUCUCCUCCGAGGCAAUAAUAGGUGUGCAGCAAUAGGUGCUCUCUGGGCAUUAUGUCUACCAUUGCACUUGUACUAAAAUGAAGAUAAAAAUCUUGCGAUAAAACUCAGCUGGUUAAAAACCUUGCGAUAAAACCUACCUACUUGAUUCAAGUCAUAGACUGAAAAACAUACCGAUGAAUGGGAACGUGGAAAAAAGAACCGACCAUAUAACGUCAAAAAUAGGGCAAAACAAAAUAAAAGAGAGGCUAAAUAGGGGCAAAACAAGCCCCCCCCCCCCCCCACCCCCCACCAAAAAAAAAAAAGCUUAGCACAUCAUGUAGCGUGCUUGGCGUCUCAAUAAUCCGAUGAGUUUGAAUUUGAAAGAUUGCUAGCCACACGUUACACGUGGCGUGAUGACGUUGUUGCCCAUGGAUAUUUAGAAGUCGCUAAUCCUACUUCCACAGUCGAUGUGGUAUCAAAAAGAGACCAACAAAUUUUCGAGGGCAGUGGGCCAUCCAUCCUGUAGGUUGCAGACGCCAUAACCGGCCCAGUACAAGACCGCAGGCAGGACCUGGGCACGCUGUGGGCCCAUUCGGUGCACCCAGAGUACGUUGUGCUUCCGUAUAUACUGCGGUGUGUGCAUAUACUACGCAGGUCGUUGACGCUGGUCCACACUGCGCCAGCGCCUGCGCGCAAAUAAUGAGUGGGGUCCGGCAGUCGAUCGAUCGCCGAGUAAACGCUCGUUCAGACAUGUACACAGUACACACGGGAUGCGCGCGCGCGCAGCAUUACUCCCGACUUGGUUCGUCGUCGUCGUCGUCUGCACUUGGAAUUAUUCAUGGACCGGCCGGGUCCGCCGCAGAGCAGUGGCCAACCGGCCAAGGUGGCAGCCUGGCAGGGCAAGACAUCUCGCAACUGAUUUGGAACCUGCUGCUUCCUACAGCUGGAGGAGGCUGUCCUCCCGUUCCCGGUCUCUCUCCUUCGUGGUCUCGGUGUACGCAUGCGCUUGGUACUGGUUGUAGCAGCAGUUGUUGCGAAGGAAAGGCACGAGAGCUAGGACUAGGACUAGGAGAGCUAGGACCAGGACUGCAGAUGCUCUAAGGGCCGCCGCGACAGGCCGGCCGGCCCCCAUCCAAGUCUUCCUCGCGUUGCCGGAGGGCCGGGUCGUCGUCGUUGAGUCCCCUGAUGAACAUCCUAUCCUUUCCAAUUUCCAUGCAUAUCCAGGCAUGCACGACAUGGACCGUUCCUUCUUCCACCACUCUGUGCCGCCAAUCAUCCUCUCAAUUUGCAUGCAGCCAUAUGCAGGAAACCAAAACUUGUACUGGCAUUCCCUUUAUAAAAAAAGAAAAAGCUAAGCACAUCAUGUAGCGUGCUUGAAAUUCUCAAUAAUCCGUUGAGUUUGCAAUUGAAAGAUUGCUGACCACACGUUCCGCGCGGUGUGAUGGGCGUUGGUGCACAUGAAUAUUUGAAAGUUGCUGAACCUACUUCCACGGCCAAUGUGGUAUUUUCAUUUUGUUUUCCACGUCCAAUGGGGUAUUUUAACCGAAAGAGACGAACAAAUUUUGGAGAGCAGUAAGUAUGGAUUGAGGAGCCCACGUAGGCAGGAUAAGAUUGGUGCAAGAGCCCAGGGGCCUAGACGCUGUGCCCAGGGCCCAAGACAGGCGGCGCCCUGCAUUCAAUAAGAAUUGUUCACGUGUACACUUACGCGACGACGAAUGAGAUCAUAGAAGCAACCCCUUUUUUUUCCCGUAAACCAAAGCCAACAAAGCAGCAAGCACCUCGUUCAUCAGCUAACAGCUGGGAAAGCAGAGUGAUCACUGAUGCGAGUGAGAUUAUUAUUCGACGUUGCUGCUUCUACAGCACCGCACGGAGGGUAAAAUUCUGAUGCAGUUGGUACCUACCAUUGUUCUCGUGUCCUUUGGAUGGCAACCAACCGCAGCACGCAUCGGCCGGGCAAACGCAGCACGUUCCAUCCAGUCUGGCCUGGCACCAAAAUCUACCAAUGGAAGAUGUUUGAAUCGAUCUCCCCUUGCGAACGCUGUUUUUCUUUCUUUCCUUUUCUUUUUUCUUGUUUUUUUGGAAGAUGGGAGAUGGCAUUGGAUCCUUUGCACUGGCAGUUGUGUGUGCAGCACUCCCUAAUCCUUCCUCGGUUCGGUAGCCAGAAAAAGGAAUGCCCAGCUACCCGGAGCACCGCGACGGCAGCGGCGUGCAGGCGGACAGCGGAAGCCAGGGAGGUUCCAUCCAUCCAAAAAUACCCAUGUGGCCCAAUCCCAACAACCACUUCCGGACACAAGCGAGCGAACUGCAGCUGCACGGUGCACGCUUCCGGAAGCCCACUCGCUGGCACUCCAGGGCCCACGCGAUACGCACUCCCUAGCAACCCGCGGACAACCCAUGUGGCUUUGGGCCCCUGCACCCUUUGGCUCGGACGACCUGCCGUCCCCUUCCUCAGUUCCAUCCUCGGAUCCUCCGACCUGCAUUCCCCAUGCCUUUGCACUGCAAGCUCAAAGCCUCAAAUUUCCCCAAACCAAAAGUCCAAAACCACCACUGAACAAGGCGAUGAACUUGAACAGCAUUGAAUGCAAACAAAAAAGGUAAAGAAGAAGAAACUGAUGACAAAGUCUUGUUUCCAUUCCACACACAAACACAUCUUGCUACCACUUCGGUAGCAGCACAAGCGUUCAAAAUUCAUAGCGCAUAAACACCGACACAGCUUCGCUCGUUACUCCCUCUACUGCUACUGCUUCAAUUUGAUUGCUUCUAGACUUUAAAAAGCACCUAGAAGACCAACAACAACAACACCUCUACUCUCAAAUCACAAAAACGAUCCAAGAAUCACGAGAAGUGAUCACCUCCGCUCCGCGACCAAAAACACAAGAACAAAGCUCACCCGAUCGGCGCACCAAAACUUUCGCGACCAGGCGAGAUCACAAACGAACCACCCCUCAUCUCCCUCAGUCCCCUUCCCAUCGCAACCAUCCUCUCCACAACACUACCACUGCUGCUGCUGUACAGUUCCUUCCAAUUCCGGCAAUGCCACCACCAUUCCCAGCUCACCGCAGCAGCUCGGCGCGGGACGCCGACAGCUCCCUACGGAGCUUGCACGAGAAGAGCCGGCACGCGUCCAUGCUCAGGUCGACGGCGGCCGCCAGCGCCACGAACGCGGCGGCGUCCUCGGCGCACCCGACGUGGGCCACGCCCACCUCCACCGUGGGCUUGCUGCACCGUCCCUCCCCCUGCACGGCAGCCGACAUCACGAACCCUCGGAAGCUCCCGAACGGCCAGAGCCCGUGCCCGAAGUCGCCGCUGCCGCGGGGGCUGCAGCCGGGGGACCCGCUCCGGCCGAACGGCUGCGCCGCCGUCAGGUCGAUGGCGAACCGCCCGCCCUUGGAGGCCGGGACGCCGGACUCGGCCACGCACACGCCCACGCCGGAGUUGGUGUGGUCCGGGACGAGCUCGAAGCGGUAGCCGAGGGAGUCGCCGCCUGCGCCGGCACCGCCGCGCUCGCGCCAGCACUCGAGGCGGCCCCACGGCGUCCAGGUCCCGUCGACGGGGCGGAGGAUGAGCCAGCCGCCCGGGUUGGAGCGGCUCACGCGGUCGGUCCCGGGGGAGGCGACGAAGGGAGUCACCAUCGAGGCCAGCGCCACCGGCGAGCCCGACAGGUCGUGCACCGUCACCGACCACCCCUUUCGCUCCUUCCCCGCGCGCUCCCGCUCCGACCCGAACUUGGCCAGCCAGUUGCGCCCGCCGUUCCCCGGAUCAGACUGCACCGACCUGCAUGUAUUGGAUUCCAUCGAUUCUUCCAUCAGGAAUCGGCCGCAUUUGCUUGAAUGCAAUGAGGAGACAGGAGAAAGAGUGGUCACCUUGAGCGGAGGUCGCUGUUGCUGCGGCAGGAGAAUUUGCAGGUGAACAUGGGCUGCCUCAUCCGGCCCUGCACCUGGAGCACCUGUGGGCUGCACUCCGGCUCGCCGUCGAACUCGAACACGAACCUCGGGUCGGGUUCCGCGCGCACGGUCAGGUUCAGCUGCGCGUGGCCGGCAGCAGCGCCGCCGAAUGCCGCCCCCGCCGCCGCCGGCUUGCGGCCUGCGCGGCGCUUCCCGAUGGCGACCCACCCGCUAUGGAACACGACGGGCUUGGCGGCAGCGGCCCUGAGGUCGAGCGGCACCACCACCUUCCCUAGCAAUCUCCCCGAGCUGACCCCGCACGUGGACCCCCUCCUCCCCGCGUACACCGCCACCUUGAGCCGCGCGGUGCGGCGCGCCCCGAAGAGCGCGGGCUUCGCGGCGGCACGGUCGAGGUCGGCCUUGGAGACGUGGAAGGCCGCGGCGAAUGCGCCCGUGCAGGACGCGGGCCCCUCCUCGGCGGGCGGCAGCAGCGGGGCCGAGGCCGUCUGGUAGGGGAGCUUGUUGAGGCGGAUCCGGCAGUAGCAGGGCGCGGUUGUCGGGUGCACCCCGGCGCCGGAGCUGGAACCGCCGGUGCCCCCGCCGCGCGGGGCCGCCGCCGGCAUCUUGACCGCCAGGUUGCCGACCAGCACCCGCACGAACGGGCACGGGUCCAUCGCCGGCGGGGCGGCUGCCAAUCCUCAGGCCUCAGCUCACUCGCAACGCCUUCCUAGUUCCCCCUCCUCCACGGAUUGAAGCGACGCAAUGCGGAUCGAUGGAAUGGAAGCAAUGGCGGAUGGAUUGGAGAGGAAGGGAAGGGGAAAAGGGGAGGUGGUUUUCGAUUCCGGCGAUGGGAAGGAAGGAGUGGUGACGAGGGAUCAUAGGGUAUAAGACUGGCGGGGCCCCGCCAUGCGCCGGGCGUGGCCAGCCUGGAUCCCUCCCUCCCGGUGAGCUGUGCGCGGGGCCUCCUCCUAUUCCAGCCUCUCCAGCUCCCGUGCCGGGCCGCCAUCCUCGCAGACACGUGGGCCCGGACCAGGGACCUGGUCAUCCGAGUCCGCCUGUCAGUGUCGUGGAGUCGCUGUUGAGACGGUGAGUCCGGAUAAGGUGGUGGCGUACGGGGAGGCGUGCGGGGGCGCGGAGGCGGCCUGACCGCUGGCGUGAGACGCGAGCGCCCCGCGGCCGCACCGGAUCAGGAGAGGAGAGAGAGCACGCGGCCCGAGUGAAGUGAGCCCUUGUUUACUUCACCCCAACUCCCAACUUUGACACUAUGCAAAAAGAAGAUUCCCCAUCAUAUUAAACUUGUGGUAUAUGUAUGGAGUACGAAAUGUAGAUGAAAUUAAAAACUAAUUGCACAGUUUUGUUGUACUUUGCGAGACGAAUCUUUUGAGCCUAAUUAGUCAAUAUUUGAACAAUAAUUCACAAAUACAAACGAAACGUUACAGUAUGCUACAGUGCCGCACAGUAAUUUUGACAAUUCCGAUUUUGACAACUAAGGCCUGAGUCCAGUCCAGUUGCGCGGCAACGAGGUGCGCUUUUGCGGUGGGGGUGCCGUGGGGUCCCCGCUGUGGCCGCUUUUCCUCCUUGCCUGCGUUCGCGCUCACUUGACGGCGACGGCAAGGCGAUUUUUUUACCGCGCGCCCCUUUUUGCCGAGCCCGCGGUGAAAAGGCCGGGGAGGCGAGAUCGGGUCGUGCCGAGCCGUGCGUGCCCGUACGGGCGGGCAUCCGAUUGCUUGUUGGUGGUGAGAAAGGGAGGAAAAGGACAGGGCAGCGGGGGGGGGGGGGGGGGAAGCGGGGCCCCACGGUGUCGGUGAGCCCGAGCUCGUUCAUGAUUACGGCGCGGGGGUGGGGCCCACGCCGCGAUCUUUGGCCCGCGUCGCCGUCCCGCUGUCAGUGGCAGCUGGAGUGGCCCGGGCGAGGCGCGGUGACAGUGAAUGUUAGUUUUCUAACGGUCCCAGUUUUUGUCGAGCGAAAAUAACCGGUAUAGCGUUGCUUGGUCUGCGUCUUCGGGGAGCCGAGGGAAAUUUUCGCCGCUGCUGCAUGCUGCGGUUACGGCUUGGGCAGUUAAAUAAUAGGUCAAUGAAGACAGCGGAUUUGUGGCCGUGCGGAGGAUUUGACCUGCAUCCAAUCACAGCCAAGCUAGAUGCGGUGAGCCUGGAUGAGGCCGGAUACAGGCAUCCAAUCACCCCCGAAGAGAAGAGAACAGGAGAGGUCGCACGGGCGCAAUGAUGGGGGCGAUUCCCAGCUGAGGUGAGCUGCCGGAUGCCGCCGGCCCGCCGUGAACACCACGCUCGUGUCACAUGCGCCGGCGAAUAUACUACGCAAUGAUCUGUUUUCUUUUUUAUACAAAAAAUAAUGAAAUUAGUUUUGUUGGAGGAGAAUAAUCGGGAGGCGGGGGUCACGAAUUUACGAGCGGACUAGGAAUGUGCUGCCCAUGCUCCAUGAACUGUGGGUCCGUCCAAGGGCGCGUAGGGCCCGCCUGGAAGCCACCUAAGCUACGACUACGAGUGUGAUUUUUCAAGCUUUGAAGGGGAAAAUAGAAACGAAAAAAAAAAUACUGGGUUCGUUGGGGUUGGAGUACAGCUGCGAACAGGCUGUCACGGAUGAACGGGCGAGCGGCCGUGGCGGGCCAGCGACUGUUUGUUGGCGGUGGUGAUGAGAGAGACGAGGGCCGUCCAUUUCGAAUUCAAAACCUUUUUUUUUAAGUCUACCGGCAGUCCAGCUAAGCAUAGGGGGCUCCAUUCCAUCUUCUUUUCUUGUUGUAGGACGGGCGGAUCAGCUUGGGCCCCGCUUGCCGCCGCUGGCCUCAUGCAUGUUCUAGGCACAAAGAUAAGGGAUCACCAAAAUAACUGAUGUGAUGCAUCCUCGUGCGAAGGAAGUUGUUUUGAUUGGAGCUUGUAAGAUGAGGAGUCUAAUGUACAAAACAAAAUUAAAAUAUUUGUCCGACGUGUGGCCCAUAAUAAUGCUUUGCAGGUGACGUCAAACUCAAACAUUGCAAGAAAUGGAGUGAACCUAAAUACUCCGUGGCCAAUGUGCACGAGGUUUGACGAAUAUUAGACCAUCUCCUUUUGAAAUGACAGGAGGUUAAAACUGUGCUGGCGGCUGCUGAAUACGGUGAAUAAUGACAGGAGGUUAAGAGAGUUUCUCUAGCUUUGUUGGUGUCCACCGAUUUGCCUGGAGCGCAUGAUUAAUGGAAUUCGUUUCCAUUUUCUGUUUUUUUUAAGAAAAACAAACAAAGCAGGCGCGGACAGGCGACACGACCACAAGUAGGACGACUGGGACUUUGCUAGUUGCUCGUGAUGAUCUGUCGAUUUGAAUCUUUGCUUGUUGACAAGGGUCCUAGCUAACUAGCUCUGUUUGUUUCAGAUUUCUGACAGUUUCUUAGCAUGAAAAGUUAGAAGUUUAAAUAAAUAGCGAUCUUCUCGUAUAGCUUCCGAAAAACUGGAAGAUCAGAAAAGUUGAGUUUAUAUAAAAGUUGAAAAGCUCGACUUUAUAAGUUUUUCGUAGUUUUUUUGAGCUCCGAAAGCUAGACACAUCUUCUAGAAGAUAGCAAUAGUUCUUUUAAAAAACUCAAAAACUGCAGCUCAAAAAAAGAGGAUGUAAAUCAGACAGCAACUUUGAGUGAGCUUAAAGAGGCGCACUGUGCGUCGUUGUAGCUUUUGCUUUUUGUUGGUUGCAUUUUUGGGCCCUCAAGCUAAGCUAAGCUAGCUGUUGAACCAAAGCUAAUCUCGAGCUUUUGCUCCCCGCAUGUCCUGUUCCCGGCUGGCACUAAUCAUGGCGCUAAUGACCGCUGGCCGGCCGGCCGGGCAGGGCACAGCGAUUGCUGCUGCCGUCUACUUUUUGCUCCGUCGUCAUCGCCUUCCCAUCACACCCAAAGAUUAGCUAGGACUACCAGCAGGGUUUGUCUUGAUCUGCUGCUGCUGACAGUGGGUUUGGUUUCUCCUUGCUGCGUUCGUGUCGCUGCUCGGACGACCCAUACCUGUCGUUCUUGUCUGCACUGCGGAAUCUCUGCGAAAAAACAUAAAGAGAGAUUUACAGUUCUAGUUUUUUUUUUAUGUAUAGCUGCUCUGCCGUCUACAGGUGAAGCGUCCGUGCCUCUGCCUCGGCUGCAGGCUGCCGUUUGUAAUUUCUAUGCCAACUUGCGUUCCAUGCUUUCGUCGGUAGCAAUACUUUAUCACCGUGCGUGUAUGGACAGCAAAGCUAGGUUACAAAUGGAUGCGAUCAGGAGAUUAGCUUUGGAGUUUUAAUCAAUUAUUAGUCCCUCGUCACUCAGUGGGUCAGUCAGUCAGUCAGUCAGUGAGAGGCAGUCACCAACCCAGAUGCGAACGGUGUAGGCUUUGACCGAGCCAUGCUGGCAGCGACAAGCGAACAGCUCCAAGUUUACCAUUAGUUUAUUACUAGCGCCAGUACGUAGCCACGAAGGGUGCUUGCGUACAAGGCAAAUGUUUAGUUCCUCGAAACUCGCCACUUUGAUACUAUGCAAAAAGAAGAUUCCCCAUCACAUCAAACUUGCGGUACAUGCAUGGAGUAGUAGACGAAAUCAAAAACUAAUUGCACAGUUUUGUUGUACUUUGCGAGACGAAUUUUUUGAGCCUAAUUAGUCAAUAUUUGGAUAAUAAUUCACAAAUACAAACGAAACACUACAAUGUGCUACAGUGCUGUAACAGUAAUUUUGCACCUCCAAAUUUUAGGCAACUAAACAAGACCAAGUUUAUUUUGAAACCUGUUGACGCAAAUUCAGGUUUGUGCCAAUUUUGACCAUCAAUAAAAAGCUGUUGCCCUUGCCAGGGCCACCGACUUUUAAUUCUGAUGCUCGAACCAUGGCUCUUGUAUCCGGAAAAUGCGUACCAGUAACGACAUGCGUGCUCGCUCAUUCCUGCACAACAACAAUACCAGCAGUGUACUAGGGGAAAAAAAUGGAUUGACCUGUGAUCAUUGUAGAAAAAGAUAUACGUAUUUGGUGUGAGAUGGAUGGCAAGUCAACGAGCGCGGGGCCAACAUUUAGCUGGGCUGUAGUCCACUGCACACAUCUAAUCACCAUACAAAGCCCCAACUGCCGAGACGUGCAGGUGGUGAUCCAACAAGAGUAUGCAUUGUUUUGUUUGCUCCAUACAUUUGUGUCAACUGGUCAGACCAACUAACUAAUAAGCUGGUUGCUGUUGUUGCACAACACAACCUGAGAAUGCAUGGCAACAGAGGCCGGUCUUUCCCGGCCGGCGUAUGCGUGCAUUGCAUCUUACCAUGUUCUGCUCAGAUAUGAUGGCGAUCAAAAGGAAGGAAGGAAGAGAGUUCAAAUGCAUACAUGGAAAAAAAGGAAAAUAGGCGAUUAACAAGAAAAUGGUUACGGUGUGUCUUAGUCGCGUCGAACAAGGAAAAAAAACAAGAUCCACCUAGGAGGAAUUAGGCGGUGAAUUUUCCAUUAAGUAGAAGAAAAUAUACAUCUAAAUUCGAGCUAGAAGGAAUUUAAAUCUAGAUGGUUAGAUGCACAACCACACCUUCCACUCUAAAUCCUUAAUCGGUUGAGCUAGGCUCGAUGGAGGCAGGGCUAUGGGCCCCUUCCCCCACCCCAAACCCGGUGAAAAAUGAUGACCCUACCUGCAUGGUACACGUGCUUAGAGUCAACAUAAAAAGCCAUCUAUCCACAUAUGCACGUGACAUCCAUGAUCCAACAAACAAACUAUUGUUUAGGGGCACCAUUCAGAUCGAGCAGCACAGAGACGAUGGUGGUACAUGCACGGUUCGUCUAGCUCUGCCUGCAGGUUGCAGUUGGGGAAACGCAGCGCCGGACAAUAUGCACAUUUUGGAAAUCGGAGCAUCCGACGCGCGCUCUCGGCUGGAAUGUGUCAUGCAUACAUAAACAGGCAUAGAUGUUAUCAGUGUCUAUUUGUUUUGCCUUGUCAAUGUAUAUAGCUUUUUAGAUAGAAAUGAAUCCCAUUAAACCAUAUAUGUAUUGGCUUCGUGCUAAAAUUCAGGUGCUGAUUUUGCCCAAAAAAAAAAUCAUUGCACAGGAAGGAAUAGAUUGUAAUAGAGUCGGCCAGUAGUUUGAUUUAGAAGAAAAUUAAAUCGGAUAAUGAUUCAGAACGAAGGGAGUAAUCCAUACAUCUUAAUCUAUAUUUUUACACUGGGGGUAGAUUCCAGUUUACAAGAGUGAAUUAAGGGCUGCAAGAGGGCGUCCUUUGUCGGUGGGAAGAGGGUGACGGAUCGGCUGCCGCUGGCAUCUGAAACCAAAUUACCUGAACCACACAGAACAUUCGAUCAACUACUAAUAUGGGAUUUUUUUGUUCCAUCAGCAAGCUAGCCAGUUUGGACAGAGUGGCAAGAAACGGUCCUCCUGUCAUGUUCAUCGUAUCUGUAUCUGCCGGCUGCAGGACUAAAUUACUCCGGAUUAAUGUACAAGUAGCGCGACUAACAUAAUAAAUCUGCACAAAUCUGAUGGUGAUGGGGCGACGAGAAUCAAUAGUUUUUUUUCACAGAGAUAGAUAGAUGAUUCAUCAUAACUUUAUGCACGCAACGAAUAUAUCCAGGAUGAAUGCAGUGUGCUUGCUGAGUAGACGUACUAUAUUAUUAGCGACUCGGAUCUUGUUUUCAGUAACAACAAUGCACGUCUGCACUAAUCGAACAACACGACCGAUGCUAUAUACCACCAUCUUGUGUUAGCUCGAGCUAAUCGUUUAGCAUUCGUUUGUCUGCCUGCCUGCUUAUAAUUGAAUACUCCCUCUAUCCCAAAAUAAAUGUUCGUUUAACAUUUAAAUUUUGUUCCACAAAAAAUGUUCUUUUUACCUCCUAGUGAAUCACAUCCAAUUAAAGCAAUACUCACAUCAAAAAAAAAGUGCAUGGAAAAUUGCAUUGAGCCAAUCAAAUGUUCAGAGAAUCAGAGUAGUACUAGCUAGCUUUGGGGUGAAAGAAAACUUUGCUUCGCUUUGCUGGCCGGGGAAGCAUGGAGGUGAGGUGACAAUGUCCAGGACAUGAUCCAGGUUACCUGGGAAAAGCGUUUCUCGCGCUUGCUUCGGUUCCAAGAACAUUGUCUCGUGUUCCUCGUUCUAGUCCCAUCCCAAUCGCUCUCACUGUCACGUGAAUCCAGGAGAGCAUGCAUUCGCAGCCAGCAACUGGGCCACAAAACUUUUUUUUAGAUGCGCAGAACAUUAUUUUUACUGAACGGUGGCUGUACUGGAUGGCCCAUCUCCAAAGGAGCAUGGCUACCCGUAAAAAAAAAAAAAGGUGCAUGGCCUGCUGACUCCUAAUGUGUCUGACUGAAUCAGUCCGCCGCACAGAGAAAUGCAGUAGAGUAAACUUGCAGCCCGUGCAAGGAGCCCGCGCCAUCGGCCCUCUCAUCUGAUGUGGGCUUCUUUUGUUUGUUUGGGCCCUAUGGAAUGGGCCAGGAUUUUUGUCUUGCAGUUCCACAAGCCUUUUCUUUUUGUGCCGAUCUCUCUCUGCAGCCCGGUAAUCUUUACCUAAUAUAAAAGUACGGUAAGUGUUUGUUAACUGUCAUUAUAAUGUUUUAAAAAAACUACUAAACUUUGGUACGUCGCCCUCCUCUGGCACUGCAUUGUGGGUCUAGACAUGCAACCCCGCUGACAGACGAACCCGAUUCCGCGUCAGAUGAACAAAUCAUUCCAAGUCCUACUUGUACCGCAACCCACACAAAAUCAUCGAACCAAAGUUCAAUUGGAACUCGAACAGAAUAGAAAACAAGAAGAUGGCCUCGAUUGGAAAAGUCAAACACGAUGUCUCUUCCCCACCUCUGUCAUCCGAUAGCUUCAUGAGAGGUCGCGCUGGAGCAGCGGUAGUAUUGAUAGCUUGCAGGAGACUUGCAUCAGCGGCCUUGCCCUCACCAGCAGGGGCACAGGAGGUGGCGGACGAACUGGUUAGCAUCCACCAACUGGGCCAUGUUCCCCGGAUCUGAAGGCCAGGCGGGCCAGCUUCUUUCCCAACGCACCUCCAUCGGCACUGGCAUAGUGAACCACUCCUACACCGCAGAUGAACGCAACUGGUGGGGUCUCCUCCUGUGGGUCUACAACGUCCGCAACAAAACCCAGCCACUGAACUGAUCGACACGCUGAUGUACUCCACUGGCUCGCUCGUCGACUAUAAUAAUGUCACACUGCUCUUCAAGUCCCAGCGCUGCGCGGACCUGUUAGAAUGCAUUAAAAAAAUUUAUGAUGAUUUUAAGAUGUAUCAGAUACUGUGAUUAGAACUGGGCUUUUAUUGUUGGCACACAAAAAGGGCAUUUGACUUGAGGAGGGUCUCGAUCUUGCGUGAAUUUGCUCGAGUUGGAUGGCAUGAUGGUCUCCAUGGUUCUCAUUCAUGUCGGCUACGCCAUCAAGGAAGCCAUUCCGCCACAACCGGCGUCAACCUACUGCUAUGUCAAUGCCAGCCAAGUCGAUCUAGGGAUGUUGUCGUGCAUCUUCUCCAUCGAUCUUUGUAGCUUUUCGCGGCCUAGCCGAUGAUGGGUGGGUUGAUGAGUGUUGCCGGUGCCAUGGCUCACCCGCGUGGAGGAGGUCUGGCAGCCCGCCGAGUCGCUUCCUCAUUCGACGUCCCUUCCUCCGGUGAGGUGGGCGGUGCUCCAUACCAGCGUAGUAGUAUUUUGACAGAGAGUAGAUAGUUGGGUUGGUAAAUAGUAGGACACUGGUGAAUAAAGGUGGAGCUUGGCCCUGCCGUGCUGGCCCAGCCCGGCCUUCUCGUGCCAUGGGCCGCUUUGGGCCUAGAUUGUCCGGUAGGGGAGCUUGACCAUACAUGGUAUGAAUAUGGAACUAAAGCCUUUGCCUAGACACAACCACGAACGACCCAACUUCGUGCAGUGCUAGCCCAAAGUAACAUGGCUCGUACAUUGUUGAAUCAUGUGUAAGAAAAUGUUGAAGGAUAUCGACAGUGGGAGAUUUGUGGGGUGUGAAAGGACCGUGACAUUCUAGGAGGGGAUGGGUGAAUUAGAUGUUCUAAGAUUCCAAGCACAUAUAAAAAUCUAUUCCAAUUUCUAUCUAGAUGUGCACUAGAUUUUUUUUCCAUGUGUUGCUAUCUCUGUUGCAAAAGUAUUUUGCAUCCUAGGUUCCAAUCCUACAAACUACAUAUAGCAAUUCUAGAAAAGGUAAACAUGGAAUGCAAAGUGCAAUGAGUAAUACGGAAGGUAAAUAGGGUAGAGAAUGCAAACUCCUGGCUCGAUGAAUUUUUACUGAGAUAUCGGAAAGCUCUCGUUUCCCCUAGUCCUCAUUGGAGCCCCCUCGCGAGGGAAUGCUCGCGCAAGGGCCAAGCUCCUGGACAUGUAACUCCGCAGAUAGCCGAUGGUCCUUCCCCACAUGCAAGUGGAUCUUUGGCUCUCCCGUAUUCUCCUCGCCGUCUUCACUAGGUUGCAACAACAAGGGCACAGUGAGACCGAGUGGCCGAAGGUGCCCAACAGUAGAACCGACCGCUAGCCAACCCCGCAAGAUUUAGAUGGACCCCAGGCACACAGGCAUCAACCUCCAAGCCAGGGCUAGCACACCACUGUAGGCGGCGUUACCAUUGGCUAGCACUAAAAGCUGCUACCACCAUGAGCGUCAACAUGUUUCGGAUUUGACGAAGAGCACCGUGAGUCGGGUCACCAUAGGAUGAUCCCCAACUACACCCUAGCCCCCAAUCCCGUCCUGGAUCCCGUGUGCAGAAAAAGUGUGGGAAAACAUGUUUAUUAUGGGACACAAUUAAGUUUUUUUUGAGAAUUUCCUUAAAUGGUCUAAAAAGUGGAAAUUUGGUUUAAGAAAUUUAAUAGUAGUUUGCUAUUAAAAGUGUAACUUAUUCACUCUAAGGAAAAAAACGUUAGGAAUAGCGGGCCUUUUAUGCUUAUACAGCUACACCCAACCAUCUCUCUCUCAUCCUUCCCCCUCCCCCCUUUCUCUCUCCUCAUGCAUCAAGGUCUCUCCAAAUCCGCACCGGUCCCUACUUCCGUUUCUUGUACUAAGACCUCCACACCCACUUUUAAGCGGUAGUGUCAAAGGCCUAGAUCUCUUUGAGAUCCACCAAUAUAGCCUUGGUGGUGUUCAUUUCCAAACUUCUGCUGCUGUAGGUACAUCUCCAACUGCAACUAUAUGCUAUGCCUAGCCUAUGCUGACCUCCUCCACAUGGUAGAUCUAGCUAUAGAGUGAAGCUAGUUGGUGGAUUGGUAGAUGGGGUGCUCAAAUCAAGGGCUCCUCUUCUCCUCCUUGGAUAUUUCUUGUCACCGCACCAUUCUUCUCUGGUGAUUUUAAUGGAUCCAUGCCACACAUAGAUGAGUUGUAGGCUCAGUUAAACCCAAUCCAUGUGAAACAUGUUGAGUGUGUAACACAGUAUCACAUCACCAAUUUUGCGUACGAAACAAUGCAAUGUUGUUGAUUGUGUUUCCACUUCAGGCCGCGCAUUAGUUCUUCCUGGUCAACAUGAAAUUUGUGGAAACACAAUCAAAUUGGCACAAUGCUAAUUGAUAUUUUCAAAAUUUAGAUAUAAUAUACAGCAAUGGUUCAGCUUAAUUAGAAUAGGAGAAAAUUUAUUUCCAAUCAAUAUAGUUCAAUACUACUACAGCACAUAGACAUAAUUUAUGUCUGUGUUUAAUUAGCAUUAAAUACACGACUCACAUGAAAUGCUUAUAUAAGGCAGGAUACGGUUAACCAUAGAUCAAAAGAGCUUUAACAUAAGCAUUGUACUAAACUGCAACAUGUCAUGUUAGGCUAGUCCCAGUGCAAGGUUUCAUUGCACUGUUUCCAAGGAUACCACAUCAUCCCAUGAGGUGUAUUCUCAUGAAUGAAACGGGGAGUCCCAGUGCACAAUUUCAUUUCACGAUUUCAUAGGAUGCCCAUAACAUUUAAUUGUGAGGCAUGUGAUUGGAUAUGGUUAGAUGAAAUGAAACUCUAUAGCCCCCAAUGCAAGUUUCAAUAGGUUUCAUAGUCUUGGAAACAGUGUAUACACAGUUUCAUCCUGAUGAAACUCCUUCCCUCUCUCACUUCAUAACUACCAUGCCAUGUCAUCACAUAUGCUAAUGUGUCACCGUAUUUAAUGUGCAUGAAACCUCUAUGAAACCCCCACUGGGAUUAGCCUUAGGCAACAUUAUAUACACGCUAUAUUAAUACUUGGCAUGCAAGAAGCAUAAAGGAACAUCCACGCAGAACUUAAUUGUACAAUUACCUAACAGCUACUGACAAAUGGGCCCCCACCUUGUUGAGGAAACACAAGGACUUCAGUGUCAGUGACAUGACAUUGGAAAACAAAAGUGACAUAGUAUUAUACUUUUUUGAAAAGACUCUUUAAUAUAUUGAAUCACUAGAAAAUGACCCCACUUGCUCCAUUUCUCCUAUAUAUAGGACGCUUCUCAAGCUCCUUCUCAUCAAAACACAACGCCUCCCAAAUAAAAUAUCAUUCAAUCCCCCAUAGCUUAAUUUGUAGUAGUAGUUCCUUUAAAUUCUCCAUCUGAGAAUGCCUAGGAGGCCAAGGAGAACCAGUAUCAACUAUCUUAAGAGCGAUAGUGAGAGUACCGUUACAUUCCACAAGCAGCGUAAUGGACUAUUCAAAACCGCAGCUGAACCAUCCAUCCUCACUGGCGCAAAAAUUGCUGUUGCACUAGAGUGUGAAAGUGGAAAAGUGUUCGCUUUCGGCACUCCAUCUGCAGAUCCCAUUAUUGAUUCUUUCCUUUCAGGGAAUACACCGGAAGAUCCAAUCCCUAAUGAUGAGGCACAAAAGGCCAAAAUCAUUUCUCUACAAAAUGAGCUAAUCCAGCUAAAGAACCUGAAGGAUGUGCAGGAUAGGAGGAUGUGGGAGUCUAUGGCACGUUCCAAGGAGAUUCAAGAAAGCUCAAAGGUGGCUAAGCUUAUCUAUGGAAAUAUAGAUGACCUUAGUGUCGAGAAGCUCAAUGAGCUGUUACGCGGGCUCUCACGUGUUUAUCAAGAAAUCCAAGAUCAUCUACCUCAGUGAUAUAUAUUUGAUGCAGUAAUUUCAAUUGUCCUGUGGAUGAUCAAAGAAGAUUUUGUUACUAGCUGCUUGUCGUUUGAAAAAAAGGUGGUCUGGACCAUCAGUAGUCUAUGUCUAGUGUGUUUAUUAGCGUCAUCUGCAUGUAUGGAUAUAUCGAGGACCGAGAGCUCUUGAAGAUUAUUUCAUGGCUCUGGUCCUUUCAUCCAUGAAGUGCUUUGUAUCUUUCAUAUAUUAUUGAAGAAAUGCAAUCGUUUGAUUGAAAGUGAAAGCUGCUGCCUACAUCAUGAUGAAAGAAUGGGUUCAGGGACAUAUUUCUCAUGGAUUCAAACGGUAGCUGCAGAAACAUCCAUCACAGAAAAUCAAUUGACACUACAAAAUAUGCAUGACUUUGCGUGAGCAGUAUCCUUAUCUAUAUAACAUAGCUCGACACAAACAACAUACUAUAGCAGAAGUUUUAAGCUCCUCACCCAUCAAUAUCUCGUGGCGUAGGGAUCUCAUAGGCAAUAAGUUAGCAGCAUGGAAUAAUCUAUAUCCAUAUAUUGCUAAUAUAGUGCUGAGCCAAGAGCAAGGUGAAUUUCACUGGAACAUACACCCUAUUGGACAAUUAUCAGUGAAAUCUUACUAUCUAGCCAUGAUACAUGAAGAUGUCCCCAACCUGAACAAACUUUUAUGAAAAAUAAAAGCCCCCCCUAAAGGUUAGGAUUUUUUUGUGGUACUUAGGAAGGGGGUUGGUGUUGACAAAAGACAACUUAGCUAAGCGUAAUUGGCAAGGCAACAAGAAGUGUUGCUUCUGUGCCAAUGAUGAAACGAUUCAGCAUUUGUUUUUUGAUUGUCAUUUUGCACGCACAAUAUGGUCCAUCACACAUGCAGCUUCAGGUCUUCCGCAGCCUCAUAGCAUAUCACAUAUGUUUGGGAAUUGGUUAUGAGGUAUAAGCAAAGAAAUGAAACCACUAGUCCUGCUAGGAGCGGCUGCCACUUGUUGGUCGUUAUGGCUUUGCAGCAAUGAUUGUGUCUUUGAAAGAAAACUUAAUCCUUCUCCUUUGCAGGUUAUCUUCUCAGUUAUCCAUUGGCUUCAUUCGUGGAUUAUGCUACAAAAACCAGCUUCACAGGGCUUCCUUGCAGUGGCAUCGCAGCACUUGGCUCAGGUGGCCAAGGAGUUUUUUACCCAGGCACAUGGAUGGCGGUCUAGUCUACGGAUUGACAGCCAUUAGCUCCCUGAUUAUGCAUUUUUUCUUUCUUUCUUUUGGCUGUGUGCAUCCUGGUAAUGUAGAAGCCGGGAAAAUAGUUCAAGGAAUUUGUUCGAUGUAAAAACCUUGAAUUUAACAAAAUUUGCCUUAUCGAAAGGAAAAAAACAAAUAUGCAUGACUUGGUACCUGAAGUGUUGUCUCAAGCUGGUCGCAUCUUUGUAUCUAUGAUUCCCACUUUGUUUUGUGCAAUAUGCAGAAGACAAAAUAUUUUUCGUAGACUGAUCAGGGGAAUAGAAAGAUCAUCACAAUACCAUGCAUCCAGUAGACUAGAAUCAGAAAAAUAGCACGAACUCUACCUAGCUAAAAAAUAUUUUGCACACGGAUCCAUGGGUUUAAGAAGAUGGCCUGAUCCGGUCUAUCUUGGAGAGAUAUUUCCAGUGUUUGCUUCUGGAACAAACAAAUGCCAUCUUCCUUUGGAAGGCAAUUUGUGGGUUAGAUGGUCUACGUAGAAAUUACGCUAGGUGAAUGACUGUUUGACGGUAAUGCCUGUGUGGGCGUCCAACAAUGCCGUCAGAAUAUCACCUCGCAGGCUCUGGAUGGACGCAUGCAUGGCUCUCCUCGACAUCCUUCUUACUUUACAUUACUGAUCUCCUCCCCCCCCCCCCCCCCCCCCCCCUCCUCUCCUCUCUCUCUCCCUCUCCCUCUCCCUCUCUCUCUCUCCCUCUCCCUCUCUCCCCACUGAUGGUGAGCGCCUCUCAGAUGCACGACAAGCAGAGGCUCGCUUUGAUGAUGCCAUGUGUGGCGACCAAGGGCACCCAAGAGGCCGUCCUCGAUGCAUACCGCAGCAUGAGCUACGCAUAAUUGACCAGAUCGCCGAUCUGAAGCUGCUCGAGACCAAAUACUUGACCAAGGGCGGCCUAGAGGCUGUUCUCGGGUCACUCUCCAUGUCCGCCGGGAUCUUGAGGAUGCCUACGCAACGCAAAGGCAACCUAGGCGAUGUGGCUCUUAGAGGUUCUGGUUGUGCAAGGUGCACGAGACUACUCCUCUUAUCCUCGGCCUCUGUCGCACAUAACAUGGGUGUGCAGGCAAGAUAGAAAUUGAUAGAUGACUGGUGUGCUAUGAUUCUUUGAUUAGCUCUUCCUCAAUGUUUUCAGCUGGUACCAUACAAGGAGGAUCCCAGACGAGAUAUUGUGACUUCUCUUUUAUGUUCCAAUCUGGUUUUUCUGAUGUAGCAAGAUCUAUCCCCCCCCUCCCCCCCCUUCAGUUUCAGUCUACCGGUUGUUGCAACAGCUAUUUUCUGGUGUUGCUAUCUUUGUUUUUGAAUAAAUAGAGAUAUUGCAUUAUUCUCAUCCUCCUUUGCAAGAAUUUGUUUUAAUUGUUGUGUUAGUCUUUUUCCAUGUCGCAUAAUGUGUUCUAGGAUAUAUGUUUCAGUAGCUGAUUUGCAAAGUUCUGGUUCUUAUAGAAAAAGGAGAGAGAUUGCAUGAAACAUCUACAUUUGUUGCAGUGGGUAUUUGAUUUUCUUAGGAUCUCCUGAGAUCAGAUGACACGGAGCUUUUAUUUUCAUCUAUCAUAUAUUUUGGACGAUGUUGAAAAAGGUAAACGGCAAUGUUGCAGUUUGAAUUUUGCAUGUUGCGACAGACCGCCCCGUAGGAAAUUUUGGUGCUAGCAGCACUGAUUGUUUACACCACACUCCUGGUAUAUCACUGUUUUGUUAUAUUCCACCAUCACUUCUAAAUUUAAUACCAAAAAUUCUACAUAAUGAUUGAUGCUUUCAGUAGAUUCAGGAAUGGCCUUCAGCCGAUUGAGUUUUACGUUCACCAUUUCCAUCAUUUAAGGCAGGCCUUUAGUUUAUUUUUUGGAGCAUCAUCUUGCAUUGAGAUGGUAAUAAAAUUUGAAAAUAUUUUUCCAUAUUUGAAAAGGAUUGCCCCUGAGGGGAAGUUUCAAUGACAUUUCAAUUAUAACAGCAAAAUUUGUAUUCAACACUAUUUUGCUGGAUCACAUUGCUCGUUAAUACUCCCUAGGGUUAGGAUACUCUCACAUAGCAAGACAAGGAACAUGUUUAUCCUGUAGGUAGAACUUUUACUAUAUUAUCGUGCACUAAACCAAGAGUUUGUUCGAUUGCAUGGCAUUAAUAACUACACAAAUAUACACACAAAAAUAUAGCAAAGAAACACCUUUUGGUCAAAACCCGGUUAUCCUGUACUGGUAGUAGAAUGCAUAGGCAUCAUACGUAGCUAUCUUUGAUUAGCAUUAAAUAGUCGACUUACAAUGAACAUAUGUAUAUUGGCAGGAUGAUUUCAAGCGGUUACCAAAGGAUUUUUUAAUUAAUGCCUGCCUAAAGUGUAAUAUGACAUUUUAAGCCGAAAUAAAUGCGCAGUUUUCGUUUUGAAAAUAAAUAAUAUUUAAAUAAUGUAUAAAAAUAGAUGAGGAAGUGAUAUCUAUCUAAACUUAAUUUAUACUUUCCUUAUUGUUACUGACAAAUGGGUCUCACCUUAUCCAUGCAAAACAAGGACCCCUUCUGUCGGUGAUAUUCCUAAGUGACGUUUGGUAAUAUACCUUUUCUUACAAAAACAUUUUCAUAUACACUAGAAUUUUUGGAAAACUGUCUCACUGACAGCCCUUUUUCAUCUAUAUAUAGGACUCUUCCUCGGAUCAUUCACAUCAGAACACAUUUCCUCUCAAAAACAACGAAAUCAUUUCUUACUCACACACCAAUAGUAGUAGCUUUGAAUUCUCCACAUUAGAAUGACUAGGCCAAGGAGAUCCGGAAUUAGCUACAUCCAAAAUAAUAAUAGCCGUAGCAUCACAUUCUUCAAGCGGCGUGCCGGGCUUUACAAAACCGCCGCUGACCUAUCCACCCUCACUGGCGCGCGAGUUGCUAUUGCGCUAGAGUCCGAGAGCGGAAAGAUGUCCUCUUUCGGCACCCCAUCGGCUGGCCCUAUUAUUGAUUCUUUCCUCUCAGGGAAGGCACCAAUGGAUCCAUUCGUCAACAAGGAGCAAAAGUCCGAAAUCACCAUUUUGCAGAACGAGGUAUUCAAGGUGGAGAAAGAGAAGUUCAUGGAGGACAAGAGGACCAAGGAGACUAUUGCACGAGCCAAGGAGGUCCAAGAAACCUUAGGGAAGGCUAAGCUUGCCUAUGGCAAGAUAGAAGAUCUUAGUGUUGAGGAGCUCAAUGAGCUUGUGCAUGACCUCUCACAGAUUGAGCAGGAGAUUGAUGAUCGACUCAUCCGCCCACAACAACCUAGCUAUCAGCUGGAGGUUGGUGGGUCAAGAGAUCCAUUCCUCGGGCGGCCGUCCUCUUCGUCAUCACCUUCUUCACAGAUCCAGAUGCCACCAAGACGUUUGCCGUGGACUCCCAUACAACCAUCCUUGCAGCUUCCAAAAUCAUCAUGGUCUCUUCCACAAUCAUCAAGGUCGCGGUCCUCUCUUCUCAAUCCUUCCAUGCUACCAUCAGCACAAGCACAGCCAAUAUCAAUGCCACUGUUCCAACAUAGUCAGAUGCCACAGCAUGCUUCGGCGGUGCAACCACAGGCACAAAUGACGCUAUCGUCUACUGAAACCUAUCCACACAACUACAAUACCCUGGAGAUGCACAUCAACGGUAACAUCUCGCUACCAUUCAUACAAUCUUCUUUGAUGCCUGCGCUACCACCACCACCUUCGCCAUCCACGCAGAUUACAUUCUAUAAUGAAUUUCCUCCUCCAUCAUCAUCGCAACAACCACCAACUCCAUUGCCUAUUGAGGCCGAGCAUUACAUGGUGGAGCAUCCUGAAAACCAUUCAAGCACUCAAGACUUUACUGCUGGUCACCCAUUUGCCAAUCACCAGUGGCCUUCCCCUAUUCCUUCUAACGAGCCAUACUAUGAUAUUAGCCUGUAUGGGCUGAAUCUUUACUUGGGAGACCAUGGUGAUUAUGGAGGCCUUGUUACUGUUGAGCGUGACAUGGCUGGUCCUUCUGGUCUGCAUCAACAAACUUAUGAUUGUCCCUACAGGAACUUCUUAGGGUCUUCUUCUUCAGGAGAAAGUCAUGGGGAUUACGGUCCAGGAAAUAAUGUUGGUGAUAUGGCCCACCUCGGUGAUAGUUGAUGCCCGAGUUUCAAUUGUUCAUGUGGUUGAUUUGAUAAUAAGUUUGAGUUAUCUACUUGCUUGUCAUCAAGAAAAACCACCAAUCUAAGUCUCUAGCUAGUCUUUUUAGUGAGUCAAGCCUGUGCGUGUAUAUCCGGGGAUGAACUCUUGAAUCAGUUUACUUCGUGAGUCUGAUCCUUGAAUCCAUGCAAUGCCUUGUAUCUCUCAUAUUGUUGAAUGUAAUCCUUUGGUUGAAAAUGAUACUAGUUGCUGCUUACAUGAUGAGAAUGGACGACGGUGUGGGGAUUUUAUACUCAUUAGGUGUUUUUUUCUGCGUUUAGGCCUGUAGUAGCGCAUUAUUGUGAUUUUGUUGUCGUAAGCCCUAGUCCUCUUCAUAAGAGAAGUGGUGCAUAUAUAUACCAAACACAUUUUUACUAAUCGUUUACAAAUCAUUACCUGGCCUCUCCUUAUCUGUUCAUAAGCAGUCCAUAACAAAUGUGCCCAUACGUAUACGAUAUACCAUCGCAGUUUUCUUUAUGCAUGCAGAACACUAGGUUGGUCCACAAGAAAUACAUCCAUUGUAUGAAAUCCUUCUAGGUAUGACUGACUUGAUCUUUGAAUCAGUUAUUUUCUUUUGCGAUUUCUUGGGUCAGUUAGACAGUUACUUAUCUCACAAAUAGCAUCUUGCUAUCUACAGUAUUUAAAAGGAUUCAGUUACUGACAAAGAGAAUCUUUUUUUAGCAUCGGUCAAAGCAUAGACCAUGCAUGACUGGACGCCUUGGACUAGAGAGGGAGAGAUAGAGAGACAGAGCUCAACUUUUGUUUUUCUAAGUUUCUGAACCGAGCUCGCGUGAUCUAUCUGUGAAUUUGCUUUGGAGCAUGAGAGAACAAAACUGGACCAAUCUGCAACAUGUUUUAUUUUUUAAGUGGAUGCAACAUCUUUUAUUUGAUCAGUGGAACACGAGAGUUUCAAGUUCAUGAAAGGACCACUAUGUUCAGGCCCUUGUCUUGCAAUUUGGUCGCCCGUGAUAAAAUGGAAAGACCAAAAUUGACAGUAGCCAUGUGAUAUUUGGCCAAGGAAGAAAUUUUUCUCCCAAAAACAUAUGAAAAGAAGAUGAAGUAGCAGAAAUCUUAGUCUCCCGCUUGAGAUCUUUUCUCUUUGGAGUUUACUGCUAUAAAUAAUUGAGUUAUAAAUAUAUACCCCUUAUUGAGUUUAAUUGCUGCAGUACGAGUUUAUUUUAACAUGGUCUAUAAGAAAAUAUGAUAUUAAAAAUAGAGAAGGUUGCUUGCCAUGUAAACAUUACACCGUGAGCCGCCGAUUCCUUUAUGUGUUGUAAUAAAAUUAAAAAGUUUUGCUGAUGGAGCCCUAAAACAACUUAUAUUUACGAUGUUGUAAAAUAUAAUGAUGUAGCUGUUAGAUGUCCUUUAACUGCUCCUUUUCCCAUUGCUCCUAUUUCUUAUCCGUUUGUGUCGAUGGCUGCCCCUUCAUGUCUCCGAUGCAUAUCCCACUACUAGAAAAAUCACCUCUAGUACCGCUUCCCAACCCCCCUCUAGUACCGGUUGUGCAACUGCACAACCGGUACUAGCCAUCCGGUACUAGAGGGGGGUCCCCCUCUAGUACCGGUUGAAAUAACUAGUACUAGAGGGUGUUAAAAAAUUAAAAAAAGAAAGAAAAUCCCCCCACCCCCGCCGCCCCGCCAGCGGCCCCCGCCAGCCCCUCCACCCCUGCCGGCCCCUGCCAGCCCCUCCUCCCCUGCCGCCCCUCCUCCCCUACCCCCUCCACCCCCGCCGUGCCCCUCCUCCGCCACCAGCAUCCCUCCUCCGCCACCACCACCGCCUCUCCUCCUUCGCCGCCCCGCUCCGCCCACCGUCGGCCGUCGCCGCCACCGCUCACCUCGCCCCGCCGCUGCUCCUCACUGCCGGUGAGGGGUUCACGGAGGGGGGGGGGAGGGGAGGCAGUGGAAGGAGAAGGAAGAAGAAGAUAGAGGAGAGAAGCAGUGGAGGAGAAGAAGUGGAGAAGAAGUGAAGCAGUGGAGGAGAGAAGCAGUGGAAGGAAGAAGGUGAUAAGGCACGGACGGAGAAGGAGAUAAGGCAAGGGUGGAGUAAAAAAAAUCUAAGGCAUGGGCGGAGCGUGGAAAAAAUAGGAGGAGAUGGGUGCGUGGGAAAAAAAUAGGGAGCCCCUCUAGUACCGGAUGGGGAAUCCUUUAUUACCGGGUGGAAGCUCCAACCGGUACUAGAGGGUGACCUCUAGUACCGGAUGGAGCCCCCAUCCGGUAUUAGAGGGCCUCCGGGGAAUUCCAAAUUUGGAACCGGUACUAAUGCUAACAUUAGUACCGGGUCCAAAUGUGACCAGUACUAAUGUUAGGAAUGAGAGGUCAUAUUUCUAGUAGUGUUCUUCCACUAGGUGCAGCCUGCUUAUAGCACAAGGCCGACGUGGUCGUGAGGAUCAAGGCAACAGAUCAGUUGAUAGGACGCGUGGUGCUGGUGACAACCAAGGUGGAGAAUAUGCACCGCCAACUUGUGGUACCUUAUGCAUGCAGCUCGCAGACAUUUUGUAGCAGGUGCGGAGGAAGGGAAAAUGUCGGUCGUGCGGGUGGAGAUGAAAUUUGCCUGUUUGAUUAAUUAAUUAAUGUCUUACGGGAGCGCUUUCAUUAGGACAUUCUCAGUAGGGGUUUCAUUCUCAUUAAAUGAGGUGACACAUAAGCAAUUGUGAUGACAUUGCAUGGUAUUUAUGAGGAGCGAGAAGAAAUGAGUUUCAUGUGGACGAAACUAUGUGUACACUGUUACCAAGACUUUGAAACACGUUGAAACUACCAGUGAGGGUUAUAGAGUUUCAUCUCAACUGAUUUUGUCCAAUCAAAUGCAUCCCAAUUAAAGUCUAUGAGUUACCUAUGAAACUGUAACAUGAAACUGUGCAUUGGAGGUAUAAUUUCAUUCAUCAACAAAAUUUAGUUUAGAUGACAUGGCAGUGUUGGAAACUAUCCCACGAAAUCCUCCACUGGUAAUGGCCUUAAGCUUCCGGGAGCUGGUGUCUCUCUUGAGAGAACUCCCUUGAGAUUAGUGUCUCCACGCCAAGCGCCAAGCGCAUCAAUAAGCACCAGGCACAUGACCCCCAACAAAUAGUUCAAGGUCGUCGGCAUUGUUAAUAUUUCAGUAAAUUGAUUGUGAUGUUGUGCUUAGUGUUUCUUGAUGUUGCAAUAUGUGUUUUUGGGGGGAUGGUGUCCUGUACAUACAUGAUCUUGAUAUGGGUUUGUGAUGUAGCAAAAAUAAAAUCGAGCUGUUGCACAUAUUAUCCUUUGAUGUUUAGUGGGUUGAUUUGGGUAUUUCAUCUAUCUAUUUUUUAUGUUGCAGCAAUAGAUUGUUGAUGUUGUGCUUAUUGCUUUUAAGAUGUUGCAAUUGAUUUGAGAUGUUAGAUCUACUUGUUUUCCCGCUGCAAUAAUGGAUUACUGAUAUUGCAUCUCAUAAUUUUAGGCGCCGCAAAAUUUUUCAUCCAUUUCAGUUUGAUAUUGCCUUUCUGGGAAGCUGAUCUUGCAUACCUGAAUUGUGAUGUGUGACCUUUCUGGGAGAGAGAGAGACCAUUAGCCCAUAAUCCAUGGUUUAGUUUGCCAAAACUAGCUGCUAGCUUUCGGUGUUAUAGCUUUCCACACAAUUCACAAUCACAAUCCAUACAUUUUCACGGUCCAAAGCUGAAACAAGUAAGGCCUAAGGCCAAUUUCCGAACCAUAUAGCUGCGUGGAUGUUUUGGUGACGUAGCAAGUUAAACAUAGGAGAGAAAAGUUAUUCCAUAGUGGAGAUACAGCUUGGGCUCGAUAUCCAAGAUUAAAAAACAUGCUCAUUGUUUGGGUCCCAUGGAUGGGCACAAACACAUAUCAAUUAAAUGUAUUCAGUGGCAUAUGAAACAACAAUACGAUACAAUGCAUUGCAUAUAUAAGUUGCUUCUACAAACCUAUUUGAUACUCCCUCCGUCCAUUUAUUGGAAUCGUUUUAGCUAUGUGCGCAGUGACCAAGGGGGAGCUGGUGGAACCCGGUUUGCCAUUAAAUCGGUGCUUUUCUUUAACUCCGCAUGCGUCUGUUAAGUUACCGAGUAAACGCUACUUUCAGUUUCAAUCGGCAGGCCGUUACUGCGCGCUAAUCCCUCUUGAAACGCCGUUAGCGCACGCGGCAGGCUUGUUUCAGUUUCAGUCGCCAGGCUCCUUUCAUUUUCAGUCGCAGAAACAACGCGCGCUUAUGCCUUUCAUUUUCACGCGCGCUUCUUUGCCGCGCGAUGCCUUUCAUUUUCACUCGCCAUAAAUCACACGCGUGCAGUUCUCUUCAGUUUUGGCCGCUGCAUCAAAGCACCAAGCUCCUUUCCUUCCAUGCUGUAGCCUUUCAGUUCUCUUCUUUCUCUCUAUCUCUCAUUCAUUCUAUAGCACACCAACGAUGCCCGGGAUAGAGAUUGACUUGAACCAAAAUCCACCAGAAUCAACCUUAGAUAAUCCUGUAGAUUGGGAUGACAUAGGGGAGUGGGAUGGCCCUGCCAAUGAACUCGAUUAUGCCAUGAUCUGGAAUGAUGAAUAUCAAGGUGAUUAGUUAACCAUGAUCCAUGAUGUGUUCUGUCUUCCUUCUGCGUGUGAUCUGAUUUUUUUUUGCUGCUUGUGUUCCAUGUCAUAGGUGAUCAAGAUAGAGAUGGACGAACUGAAGGAGUGCAAGUACCUGAUGCCGAUGGCCAAGUAGCAUAUGGAGAUCAAGAUGUGCAAGCAGAGGGUCUUUCAAAUGGUGAUUUUCAAUUUCAUCUCUUAAUCCUUUUAGAUGAACUACCUGUGUUACAAAUUUUCAGUGACAUGUGCUAUCUGUACCUGUGUUACAUUAACAUGCUUCUGUCGUACAAAUUUGCUAUCUGUACUAAUGACAUUUGCUUUUAGAUCAAAUUUGCUAUCUGUACUAAUCACAUUUGCUAGCAGAGAUCAAGACGUGCAAGCAGAGAUCACAUUUGCUAUCGGUGUUACAUUAACAUGCUUCUGUUGUAUACAAAUUUGCUAUCAGUGACAUGUGCUAUCUGUACUAAUCACAUUAACAUGCUUCUACUGUACAGGUUCCAAUAAUAACAAACGAAGAUUCUACUCGGAUGACUUAACAAUCGCCAUAUACCUAGAGCUAUUGGCAAAAACUGAUCCUCCUAUUCUGCGCCAUGGGGUUUCAAAGGGAGUUGCACGAAAAUUUAAUGUGCCUCUAAGAGUUGUGCAGUCCAUUUGGAAAAAUGGACAAACUGGUGGAGUAAAUGGUGUUGUGAACAAAUGGUCUAAGAAUUGUGGUAGGAAAAGAAUAGAAAUAGAUUUGGAAUCCAUAAAAGACGUUCCUCUUAGUCAGCGCACCACUUUUCAGGAUCUUGCUAAUGCAUUGGGUGUCAAGAAGAGCACACUUCAUAACCGUUUCAAGGAAGGAUAUUUUCGUCGACACACUAAUGACAUCAAGUUUAGCUUGACUGAUGAAAACAAGAAGGCCCGCGUCAAGUAUUGUUUAUCCAUGGUGAAUGAUCAGUCUCUGUCUUUUAAACCAAUGUACAAUGUCGUGUACAUUGAUGAAAAAUGGUUCUAUAGGACUCGUAGGAACCAAAAAUAUUACCUUGCCAAUGAUGAAGAAAGACCACAACAAGCAAUUAAAAGCAAAAAUUUUAUUGAGAAGGUGAUGUUCCUAGCUGUGGUUACGAGGCCUAGAUUUGCUGACAAUGAUCAAUGCAUUUUUGAUGGUAAACUAGGUAUUUUUCCCUUUGUGAAAGUAGAGCCAGCAAAGAGAUGGAGCCUAAACAGGGACGCAGGUACUAGAAAUUGCUAACUUUUUUUUCCGAAUUCUCCUGAAUGAAUUAUGAGUCUUACUAACAAUGUUUACAUCUGUAGGUACCCUUGUAACAAAGGCCAUGACGUCGGUAACAAAAGAAGUUAGCCGAGAUUUUCUUGUGAACAAGGUUCUACCCGCAAUCAAAGCAAAGUGGCCAGUAGAAGAGAGAGGUUUGCCCAUAUACAUACAGCAAGACAAUGCUAAAACUCAUAUUGAUGUGAAUGACCCUGCAUUUGUUCAUGCUGCCCAAGCAGAUGGUUGGGACAUUAGGCUCACAUGUCAACCUCCCAAUUCUCCUGACCUUAAUGUAUUGGAUCUCGGUUUUUUUGCCGCAAUUCAAGCACUGUUUGAAAAGGGAACACCAAACAACAUUAACGACAUUGUGGCAAAGGUUGAUAAGGCAUAUAUGGACUAUCCUGUGCAAAGGGCCAACCGUAUUUUUCUAACCCAACAGGGUUGCAUGAUGGAGAUCAUGAAGCACAAUGGAGGCCAGCACUACAACAUCCCUCACAUGAAGAAAAAAACUCUAGAGCUACAAGGAUGUCUUCCAACUUCUCUGAGUUGCCCUAUGCAACUUCACAAUCAAGCCAUGCAGUUCAUCGGUAGUUAGAAUUAGAAGUCAUGGAAACUGCAAGCAAUAUUAUCCCUUGUUUCUCAAAUGCAAUUCAUCUUGAACAUGAAAAUUUUUAUCCAUCAGCUAACAGAGACUAGUACUGCUAAAUUUUCAUCUUAGUGCCCACGACCAAUCCAAAGCAGGGUUGCUGCAGCAUCAUUGGCAUCCUUCUCGUGGUGUCCAUACAAGAGAGGCAAUAGCACAGGGAGCAUCAAAGUAGAGGCUUCAUGAUUCACCUUGUCGGAUUGAAACUUGUUAACAUCAGUUGAAGAAAACUUCACUAGGGCAUACACGGCAUCAGGUUCGUCGACUUCGGCGUCAGGUUCGUCGACUUUGGCGAUAUCCAUCUGGGAGUCCGGCACCUCGGUCUCACCUGCAAAAGAAUCCAUCACGAACUACACCUCGCUGUCGGCCAUGGGGUCUUCAUCUUCUUCGGUAGAAUCGGGUGCCCAGUUGACGACGGCCUUGCUCUUCUGCCUCUCGUCGUCCUUGGUUCUUGAUGGGAGCGACGGGGAGGUGCAUGCAGGCAGGCUGAUGACGGCCUUGCCCUUCUGCCGCUCGUCGUCCUUGGGUGCUGAUGGGAGCGUCGGCGAGGUGCACGCAGGCAGGCUGAUGACGGCCUUGCCGUUCUGCCGCUCGUCGUCCUUGGGUGUUGAUGGGAGUGAUGGCGAGGUGCAUGUAGGCAGGCUGACGACGGCCUUGCCGUUCUGCCGCUCGUCAUCCUUGGGUGUUGAUGGGAGCGACGGCGAGGUGCAUGCAGGCAGGCGAUGGCGAUCCAUCGCAUGCAGGCAACGAUGCCCUUCUGCCUGGUACCCCCUGUGUUCCGUCCGGCCGUCUUGUCCCGCUGGACGUGAAUCCUAACGGAUAGGAACGGAGCUGCUUUUUGAAGAACGGAAAGACUGCGCCCCUUCAAUUGCCGCGUACAAAACGUACGAAACGAGGAGCCACAAACUUAAACGAUGCCAAUUCUUGGAAAGGAUUUUUUUGCUAAAACGAUUCGGAUAAAUGGACGGAGGGAGUACUAUCCUAGUGAUAUGGUAGUCUUGGAUCACCAUAUCAUGUUACAAUGGACUAGGAUUAGUCUAAGGCAUAAACAAUAUUGUUACAUUCCUUUAUAAUAUAUUUUUGGAGAACAAGGAUAAUAUGGUGGCGCUCUUGGAUUGUACAUAACCCAUAGCCUAUUCGCCCAGAAGAUGGUGUCCAAAACAUCUAGAUUUCAGUUAGCUGUAGAAAAAAACAUCACAAGCGUAUGUCCUAUAUCCUCAAACUUUGCAUGCAACUUCGUGAGCAUUUGAUGUUUGCUUGACCUCCCUGUCCUUGUUGCUCCACCUUUGCCUAUGCCUAGGCCUAGCUGAUCACAUUCAGCGGCAUUUUCACACUGCGCCUUUGUGAACAUUGCUGUCAGCUAAUCCAUCUUGUACUCGUCUUGUUUGAGGUGCUAUGGUAGGAUGGUGGGUUGGUAGGCCGACGACGAAACAAAAGAAUGAGAGCUUGGCGGGUCGCAUGCAGCAUCUGCCAUUCCACUUCAAUCCCUCUCAUUCCACUUCAAUCCACUACUAUCCAAACAAGGUCUUAGUACAGAAAACGGGCAUCCCUGUUUUGGGUUGCAGGUUUUAAUUUGCUGUGUCUCUUUCCUUGGAUCUGUCUACCUCAUGUUUUGAGAUUGUUAUCAAGUGGGCACUUUGGUCUAGUAAUAGACCACUAGAUUGUUAUUCUAGUAGUUGACAUGUAAAGGUGUAGUGAUGUGCAGUACAAGUAUCUGAUGCUUUUCCCAUCAAAAAAAGUAUCUGAUGCUUUGUGUGUGCUACUGCUCUAAACGAUUUAGUUUGCAUCUCAGUCAACUCAGUUCUAGCAUCUUAUUUCCAUUUGCCCAGACUAACAACAACCUGUUGCUGGCAUUACACUUACUUAAUUACAUAUACAUUUCAAAGUUCAAAUCCAAACCAUAUUACUUAGGCUACUUUCACCAACAUUAACGGCACUGGAAUUAACCUGCCUCAUAACCC
Molecule: long non-coding RNA, 45202 nt
Filed under: Setaria viridis
Lineage: Eukaryota; Viridiplantae; Streptophyta; Magnoliopsida; Poales; Poaceae
Description: long non-coding RNA (SVIR_LNC001207)
Source: RNAcentral